GGCUAAGGGAGCUGGGCAUGUUUAGCCUGGAGAAGAGGAGGUUAAGGGGUGAUAUGAUAGCCAUGUUCAAAUAUAUAAAAGGAUGUCACAUAGAGGAGGGUUAUUUUCUGCUGUUCCAGAGAAGCGGACACGGAGCAAUGGAUCCAAACUACAAGAAAGAAGAUUCCACCUAAACAUUAGGAAGAACUUCCUGACAGUAAGAGCUGUUCGACAGUGGAAUUUGCUGCCAAGGAGUGUGGUGGAGUCUCCUUCUUUGGAGGUCUUUAAGCAGAGGCUUGACAACCAUAUGUCAGGAGUGCUCUGAUGGUGUUUCCUGCUUGGCAGGGGGUUGGACUCGAUGGCCCUCGUGGUCUCUUCCAACUCUAUGAUUCUAUGAUUCUAUGAUAAUCACCAUUUUAAUCAACAUGUCCUCUGUCUUCAUGUGUCAGGCCAGGGCAGGUUGUGGGGUUGUUGGUGUUUUUGGUCAUCAGCCCCUUUCCUUGCAGCUGGGAGGUGGGAAGUGAGUGGGAGUGAGAGAGCUUUAGACCCCAACCAUGUGGGUCUGUUUCCUCCUCAUUAUCUCAUGGUUGCCGUUUCUUCGCUCUCUGCACUUUUCAAAGGACCCCAUUAUUUCCAAUCUCCUUCACUUGUCAAAAGUAAUUUGGGGAUUUAUUAUUAUUAUUAAGACAACAUGGCCCUCGACCCCCUCGGUCUCUGUGGGGUGGGGGUGGGGGGCUGCCUCUCUCCUUUCAAACCUUCACCUUCCCAUUUCCAUUCACACCCCCUUCCCACCCUGCAGGCCCCUCUCCCUUCUCUCUGGACAAGGCUGCUGAGCUCACAUUCAGCAAGCAGAACUCCAGUCCCAAUUAGCAGCCUUCCCAAAGGGACAGGAAUUUUAAUUAGUAGGCUGGUCAAUUAUAUCAAUGGACAGUCUUACCUUUCAUUCCUUUCCGCAGCAUUCUGUUUUCGGUCCCUUAGCAGUCCUUUUGCCCCCAAGUGAUUCGCCUUCCCAGGAAUGGCUGCCUCCAAACCACAAAAAAUCACUUGGCUUUUAGAUCCUAGCUAAGGGAUGGAAGGCUCUGUCCGUUUUUGGUUCUCUUGGUUUCUUGUUUCUGCACUUUUACAUCCAGUUCUCUGCAGCCACCUGUGAGUUUUGCCAUUACAAAUCCUUGUGAAAAUUCUUGAGCAUUUCAGUGCAAAUUUCUCCUAGCAGACAGAUUUGUACAGGCAGUCUCAACCAAUGUGCACACUUUUACAAACAAGAGUUUUAAAUGAGCAGCUACUUCGAAGAACGGUGCUGUCUCCACUGAACUGUCUCCAUUGAAUGCCUGGUCAUUUCCACUGCACUGAGAGUAGAGUUUUCAACAUUUUUUGUAUGGACAGCUGACCUCUGUGUCCCAUCAGAUAUGGUACAGUGGAUUUUCGGGUUGCGAACGUGAUCCAUGUGGGAUGCACGUUCACAACCUGCAGCGUCUGCAACACGCAGCUGCGCGGGUUGUGAUUUAGCUCAUCUGCGCAUGCGCAAAGCACAAUUUAGCGCUUCUGCACAUGCGCGGCCGCCGAAACCCGGAAGUAACCUGUUCCAGUACUGGCGGGUUUUGGCGGUCCAUAGCCCAAAAAAACGCAACCUGAAGCGUCUGUAACCCGAGGUAUGACUGUAUUUGACAAUCCACUCCAUUACAAAGACAGUUUGCCAUGUGCCACUGAGGGGCUGGGGUGAGGUAGAGGAGAUCAAGUCUAUCAUCCAAAAAACUAGUUGCACAAUUCUUUGGACUGUGGCCACGGUGACUUGGGGGGCCUUUGGGGGCCAGAUAUAGAAGCCUAGGCAUGUGGGAACUACUAAAUAGAAGUUAGCUCCUCCAUGCACAAACACGUGUUUCGAUAAUGCUGAACAAGGAGACAAACCCUCCAAUUCCACCUGUUUAGUCAUCUCAGAAACUUGUUUCCUAUCCCCGCAUCUGAGUGGUGUUGGAGCACCAUAGCAGCUCAGUUGACAGAGCACCUGCUUUGCAGAUUCCCUUCGGGCACCCGAGUCUCGCCAGACACACGAGGCAUGAAGCAUCACCCUCGGCCCCGAAUACAUUGAUCUCAGUGCGUUAUUGAUCGAAUAAAUCUGACAUUUGAGCUCAUUAUCGUUAAACGCGGGUGCUUUACUACCCUUUCAUCAUAAAGACGAACAUCAACCUCCCCCUCCCUCCCCGAAAAUUUACGUUCAUAUAACGAUUUUCACUUUUCAGGCUCAGGGUAUUGUGGCAUUGGAAUUGCUUCAUUUAGGAAUUUGCUAUUGUAGCAAAUUCCGACGGCUGAUGGAUGCUGAACUGUAAAUAAAUAAAUAAACUGAACUCCUUCCCUUUUCUUCUUUAGCACACAGAGCUAGCUGAACUUGACUGGAAAUGGCUCCCCAUGCCCCUUGCUCCCCCACUGCCUCUUGCAUUCCUAUUGACAUGGGCAAUCUUAAUAUAAUUACAAGGCUAGGGGUGUCACGGACAGCAUCUGCCUGCUCCUAUAUGAAAACAAAGUGUGGGUGGGUCUGUACCAGGGGUUUCCCAAACUUGGGUCUCCAGCUUUUUGAACUACAGUUCCCAUCAUCCCAUACCACUUGUCCUGCUAGAUAGGCAUGGUGGUAUUUGUAGUCCCAAAAGCAGCUGGAGACCCAAGUUUGGGAAACCCUGGUUCUACAUUUUACAUGAAAAGGAGUGGGGGUUUGGGGGAGGGGAGAGAAAGGAGCUCAUCUCUUACUCCACAUUGACUGAUUGUACUGUACUGCCUCGCAAUGCCAAUCCAAUAAGGAAGCCCCAUUCAGUUCAAAAUGGGACUCACUCCCAGUUGAGUGUGUAUGGGAUUGCUGCUUCGAGCAGUUUCCUUCCAGUUACCUAAUAGAAGGUGUUAGGCCGGAAGAAGACUGGAACACAGGAAGUUACCUUAUACUGAGUCUGACCAAUGGGCUAUCAACUCUACUCCUCUGAUUGACAUGAGAUCGCUAGGGUUUCAGGCAGCCAUCUUUUCCCUACCUGGAGUUACUGGGUGGACUGAACCUGGGACCUUUUACAUGCAAUGCAUGUGCCACAUCACUGGGCUACUGUGGCCCAUCUCAGGAGCUUAAGGGGACAGAACUAGAGUAGUCCUGUGAAUAAACAGGUCCCAAAGAGAUUCCUCAGAUCAGUUCCUAAUAGUAUAUUUCCAAGCAGCCUCCUGCCCCUUCCACAUGCACCUGUACCAAUUUUCCUCCAGCCAACUCACCUCUUCACUCAACUUUGCUUAAAAAAAAAAAAGUUUUCUGUGGAGUAACACCGCUCCCUUCCGAACCUGCUGGACAGAUGUUUGUUCAUUUGAGGGAGAGGUAGUGGUUAUGUCGCUCCGUAAGGGAGCUGGUUGCAGAGGUCACCCUUGAAAAAUGGAUCACACUAACUUACACAUUAUAAACUUUUAAAUGGUCGGUUUUGUCUUCCUUUUGUUUUUAUUUCUACACACAUAGAGCCAGUGUGGUGUAGUGGUUAAGAGCGGUAGUCUCGUAAUCUGGGGAACCGGGUUCGCGUCUCCGCUCCUCCACAUGCAGCUGCUGGGUGACCUUGGGCCAGUCACACUUCUUUGAAGUCUCUCAGCCCCACUCACCACACAGAGUGUUUGUUGUGGGGGAGGAAGGGAAAGGAGAAUGUUAGCCGCUUUGAGACUCCUGAAGGGGAGUGAAAGGCGGGAUAUCAAAUCCAAACUCUUCUUCCAAAACAUUGGGUGCCUCCAGGCUGUCAGUUUUUGUUUUCUUUUGCUAAGCCUUUCCUACGUGUCCAAAGGCAGUUGAUUGAUGCUUCAGGCUCAACACUUGACUGGACCUGAAGCCGGAACAGUGAGCUUUGCUUAACAGUUUGUUUACGGAACAGCGCUUUCUUUUUCACUGUGGAGGAAUCCAGGACUGCACAGGCUUGCAGCUCGCCUCUCUUUCCUCCUAGCUGAAGGCAGGCGGUGAACCGAUUAUUUGUUCUGCCACUGACAUCCUGUGGUCACAGCUGCUCACGCAAAGAUGAACUGGAUGGAGGAGGGGAAAGACAAAAGAGGGAAACUUCCUUUGCUUAUCACACCUACACUUGGUUUGAACCUAUGCUUUAGGGAUGCCACCUUGGCGACAGGCCCUGCUCUGUUGCGUUUGGCAUGCAGGGAUGAAACAGGCAUCACCCUUUUUCCUCGCUGCAUCUCAAUACAAAGAAACACUUUGCUGCUUGAUUUCUGCAUGUGGGUGCAGAAGCAAAACCAGAAAACGUGGCAACCUUGUGGUGAUCAGAUUGCUGCUUUUACACUGUAUUGACUGAUUGGUACAGGUCAGGGCUGUAAAGGGACUCCUGACAGUUAAGCCCAGUCGCGGACGACUCUGGGGUUGCGGCGCUCAUCUUGCUUUACAGGCUGAGGGAGCCAGCAAUUGUCCGUUCUGCAGACAGUUUUUCCGGGUCAUGUGGCCAGCAUGACUAAGCCACUUCUGGUGCAAUGGAACAUCAAAACCAGAGCAGCUCACGGAAACACCGUUUACCUUCCCGCCGGAGCGGUACCUAUUAAUCUACUUGCACUGGCAUGCUUUAGAGCUCCUAGGUUGGCAGGAGCAGGGACCAAGCAACAGGAGCUCACCCCGUUGCGGGGAUUCGAACCGCCAACCUUUUGAUCGGCAAGUCCAAGGUUUAGACCACAGCGCCACCCACGUCCCUCAAGAGAGGGUUAGGAGCUGCAAUUCACAGAGCAGUUUAACAAUCAAUCUCUCUUCCUAGGGACCUCUGGGAACUGUAGCUCUGUGAGGAGGUCUCCUGACAACUUUCAGCACCCUUUACAAACCACUCUUCCCAGGAUUCUUUGGGGGAAGCCAUGGCUGAUUCAAGUGGCAUCAUAGGGAGUGCUUUAAAUAUAUAGUCUGGAUGUGGCCCCACUCUCUUAAUAACUUAGAAUAGGGCUGUUUUGGUUUUGUUUUUAAACCCAUUCUUUUCAAUGGUGUGAUUUUUCCCCCUGUUAAAAAUGCAAUAACUCCCUCCGCCAUCUCCCUUCCUCACUGUUUAAGCAUUUUUCAACCCAAGGAAGAAAAGUAAUAGUUUGCCACCCUGUUUGUCCAGCGGCGGCUCAAAUUACAGCUCAAAUUACAAUUCUCACUCGAAUCAUGAAAAUAACAAACUUUGAAAACUGUAUUUUCAGAUAAUGAGUACAUUUCAAGGCAAUCAUGAUGUGUUUGCAGCUCUAAGGAGGAAAUGAAGACCAAGCCACCGGAUAAGUUAUUCACUGUGAAAUAUUUCCUUGGUUCUGAUAAUGACGUUAUCCAAGUGUCAAUGGAUUUAGAGUCACAAUCAAAUAUUCAAUGGCUUGUUUCCCCAAAGGUCAUCUGAGACAGGGAUGCCAUUUUAGGUUUCAGUAAUGGGAAGGCAAAGAUUGCUACACUAGCACAGACUUUACUGGAAAGUAAAGCGUCUUUCUCUACACUCCCUUAAUUAAAAGGGGGGGUGCUCCGUUCAGCAGAGCCCCUCUAGUCCAGCAUCCCAUUGUCAUAGUGAUCAACCAGAUGCUCAAUGAGAAGUCCACAAGUGGAACCUGAGCACUUCAGCACUUCCUCCAUCUAUGAAUCCCAGCAAAUGUUAUUCACAGUGGGCAUAGUUGUUGGAUAGCAGCCAUUGCUAACCUCAUCCUCCAUGAAUUUGUCUUCUUUUAAAGCCAUCCAAGCCUCCUAUGGGACCACAUUCCACAGCUGUACUAUGUACUGAGUGCAGAUCUACACUCAUGGUUUCUAACGUUAAGGAAGGGUUAAGGAAUGGUUUUUAUAAUGUAGAUGGGCACAUGACGUCCUACUUUUAGCAUUUAUAAUGCAUUAUUAAAAUGUGACACCAGAGGGUGCUGCAGAGGAACCAGCUACCAGCCAUAGAAAAAUAGCAUUUUGACAGAGAAAACAAAGGUAAGAAAUGCUUUUAAUUUACAAGUAUGCUCUGUGAUGUUUCAGAACGAUAUAUCUAAUAGCGUUCUAAUAGUGUUAAACAGACUAGUGUAGAUCCAGCCUGAGUGAAUAAGUACUUUAUUUCAUCUGUACUGAAUCUUCCAACAUUCAGCUUCAUUGGCUGUCUAGUGUUAUGAGAGAUGGAUAAAAACUUUCUACAUGCCAUGAAUUUUAUAUAUAUAUAUAUAUAAACCCCACUUUCUACUUGCCAUGUAUAAUUUUAUAAACUUCUAACAUAUCAACUCUUUAUCUCCUUUUCCCUGGACUAAAAAAAAAUCCCAGAUGCUACAACCUUUUCUCAUAUGGAAGUAACUCCGUCCCCUUGAUCAUUUUGGUUGGCCUUUUCUGAACCUUUUUGAACUCCACGAGAUGCUUUUUGAGGUAGAGAUGUAGGCAAAAUUCCAAAAGCACCAUAGAUUUGUAUAAUGGCAUUAUGGUAUUGACGAUUUUAUUUUCAAUUCCUUUCCUAAUGAUCCCUAGCGUCGCAUUUGCCUUUUUCACAGCUGCUGCACACAGGAUCGACAUCUUCAUCAAGCUCUCUGCUCAACCUCAAGGUCAUGUUCCUUGUUAACAGCAAAACCUUGAGCUUGUCCCAGUAUCUGAUUGCCAUUCAGUGCAGUUCUCUUAGCACAGGUGUCAUAGGUGUGUGUCCUGGUACUCCUCUCAGCCACCUGGCUGCAGUGUUCUGCACCAGCUGUAGCUUCUGGACCAAUCCCAAGGGAAGCCCCACAUAGACGGCAUUACAGUAAUCCAAUCAUGAGGUUAUCAAUGCAUGAAUCACAGUGGCCAAGCUAUUGCUCUCCAGGAAAGCGUGUCUAGAACCAGUGAACUCAAUUUCUGGACCUAGGAACUGUUCACCCACAAAGUCUCAGUCUUACUAGGAUUCAGCUUCCAUCAGUUGGCACCUCAUCCAGCCAACCACUUCAUCCAAAUCUGCCACAGUCCAUGGUCUCUCCUAAGGUGUUUUAGAAAUCAUCAGCAAACUGAUUUCUGACAUUGUAUGGCUGCUUUGGGCUGCUUUGUGAGGAUUGCUAUUGUUAUCAUUAAUAAUAAACCAUGGAGUUGUUCUGCUUCAAUCCUUUAUCUCAGGAUAACAGAAGUGAGAGAGUUAAUUUUGCAAGGAUUCAAACGAGGUUUUCUGUUGAUGGGUGUGUUUUUUCCUUCUUCUUCUUUUUCAACUUAUUCCGAACUCUGAUUCAUCUCUCCAACGUGUAAUAUAUCAGCAGUUAAGGGACAGCUUUCCCAGGAGAACUGAUCAUGUAAACAAAUGUGUAUUGUGCGACUUGCACAAUAGAAAGGAUUCCCCCCCCCAAGGGUCAUUAUUCAUACUUUAGUUAUUAUCCAUCAAAAUUCAGCGUACCGAGAUCUUAAAGCACAAUUUGUACGUUGCACUUGGAUAGCUGCAGAGAGGAGGAGCGGCACAAUCUGUGGGAAUUUCUUAAAUUUUCAUUAACUCUGCAACAGCUGGCUUUGCAACGAAUCUUUAAGUGAAGACAGACAUCAGAUUUUAAAGAGCUAUUGCAGAAGAUCAUCACCCACAGAGAGAGCUCGUCUUUGUGGUUUGCAUUGUGAGCGGACAUAUCAGAAAGCUGAACAUCCCUAAUUCUCACCCCUCCGCUUACGAAUCAGGAGAGCCCUCUGCCUUUUUUUUUUAAGACAGUCUAUGUCAAUCUAGAGCAUUCUUUCCCAAACUUGGGUCUCCAGCUGUUUUUGGACUACAACUCCCAUCAUCCCUGGCUAGCAUGGCCAGUGGUCAGGGAUGAUGGGAACUGUAGUCCAAAAACGGCUGGAGACCCAAGUUUGGGAAACACUGAUCUAGAGGGACGCUGGUGGCGCUGUGGGUUAAACCACAGAGCCUAGGACUUGCCGAUCAGAAGGUUGGCGGUUCGAGUCCCUGCGACGGGGUGAGCUCCCAUUGCUCGGUCCCUGCUCCUGCCCACCUAGCAGUUUGAAAGCACAUCAAAGUGCAAGUAGAUAAAUAGGUACCGCUCUGGCGGGAAGGUAAACGGUGUUUCCGUGCUCUGCUCUGGUUCACCAGAAGCGGCUUAGUCAUGCUGGCCAUAUGACCCGGAAGCUGUACCCGGAAGCUCCCUCAGCCAAUAAAGCAAGAUGAGCGCCACAACCCCAGAGUCGGUCACGACUGGACCUAAUGGUCAGGGGUCCCUUUACCUAUGUCAAUCUAGUUGUGUGUAGACCAUGUGUGUAGCCAAUGUGGUGCCCUCCAGAUGUUUUAGAGUACAUCCCCCAUUAUCCCUAGUUAUUGGCUAUGCUGGCUGGGACUGAUGUGAGUUGUAGGUCACAACAGCUAAAGGGCACCAUCCCCUAUGUAGACAUUUGUCAUCAGGUUAAAGUGACCUGCAUGUUUGGCCAACUGCUGGGACAAUAACUCUGCUAGGGUCUCCACCACCAACUGGGGAAGGCAUCUGUAAAACUAUUGAAUACUCUGACCAUUGGACAGUAGAGAGAGAAAGCAGCAGCAGCAUCUGGUAUUUGCCAACACCAUCCCAUGAUGGAAAAUAAACAUCGCUACCCCUACCUGCCAUUCCAUGCUCCCUUCAACUCCUCCUCCUGCUUACCUUAACAUGACAUACCCCAAGGGAUCUUUCAACCAAAUAACAAAUCUCAAGCAUGAUUCAUUGCAAAAGAGGCCCAAUGACAGUGUUGGCAUUAGUUUGUGCUGCAAGACCUUGUCUAGCUGGCCAUGUGCACCUCCUUCCAGACCUGGCAUUGAUUACAGCUGAUAAUUGUCUUCUAAUUGGCCUGCAGCUGCUUAUCUACCUCAGAUAAUUAAACUGAAGAGAAAAAAAGGAAGACAAAACAAGGAAAGAAAGGGGAACAUCUAUUCUUAAGCUCAUUGACUAUUCUGAUCAAUGGGUGGGAGGUCACUUUGGGCAGAUCUAGAACAAAGAGCUGUCCUUGUUGGAAAUGCACAUAUUAUUGCAAGGUGGGUGUUUACUAUUCGUUCUUAAAAAUGUGGAUCGGUUUUCCAUUGAAUCUGCAGGACGUACAACACAAUAAGGGUGAUUAAAGAAGGGUAACAGGUAUCAAGUUGCAGAGUGUGAGGCUGAGCUAUAGCACGGUGAAUUGUCAGUUCCGUUGCUACCCCCGAUGGCGGCCUCAUUUCCUGCCAUGGUGUUUCCUGAGUCUCAGACGUGAAGUAGGAGUUGGAAUCUAGCAGGGUGAUUGGUCAGUUUCGUUGUUACCACCUCCGAUGGCGGCUUCCUUUCCUUUCCCGAUGUAAUGCAUGUUCUUUGUACUUUCUUAUCCAUUUACUGUAUAUACUUUUCCCGAUUUGAACUAUAAAAUGGUGAUUUUCUUGGGUCAAAAUGAGAGUACCCCUAAAUAUUUUUUUAAGAAAAAAAGCACUGGCUACAACCAGGCAUGUUGUGCUGCCAAUUCAGGGACAUUGUCUUCCUUUCUUUUCCUCCUUCAUCGGAUUUAGUGAUGGAACCCCCCCCCCCAUUUAACUUUCUGGAGGACUUGGGUCUCCAAUUCUCUUGAACCAUGGAGAUAAUAGUCCUUUCCUGAGUCGAUGCAUCUCAGUAGCUCUACAUGCAGAGACAAUGCAUCUAGCUGUCAGCUUCCACUGUGCUGUUACCUCCCUGCAUGCCUGGAUUCCCCAGUAAAAUAAACUCCACCUGGCUGACAGGGAAGCUUCCAUCCAUCUCUUUGUUUUGGGCAGCAAUUAAUUUUGGACUCUUUAGUGUUUUAGACACAAAUAAAUAAGCCACAGAGGAGACGUCCACCAACCUUGAAAGUCAAGUGCAAAUGGGACGCAUGGAACCUUUCAAAGGAAAGGCUACAGAUUCUGAAGUAGGCAGCAAUUGGCUGACAGCAAGGGCUUGCAAGGUCUGAAGCCAACAGUUAGAUCCGUGUCAUUAGUGAAGAAGACAACGAUGAUCUAUUCUUAGUUUUCUUUCCUACCACCCAGAGUGAUGCAACAAGGGUCAGCAAUCAGUAGUGCUCCUACAAUGCAUUUUGAAUAAGGUAAUGAGAAUGUUUGGGGGUGUUAUUGGUGGAGGGGCUAGAUCCACUGGUGGAUCCAUGCCCUGGAUCUUUUACUCAGUGCCCCAGGUCUGUUGGCGGCAGCACAGGAUGGCAGUGGCAGCAGUGGCGUAGCGUGGGUUGUCAGCACCCGGGGCAAGGCAAGUAAUUUGCGCCCCCUAACCCGUGGAUUUGCGCCCCCUAGCCCGUGGAUUUGCGCCCCCUAGCCCUAACCCCCAGAUGUUGCGCCCGGUGCGGCCACCCCCCCUGCACCCCCCACGCUACGCCACUGAGUGGCAGCAAGAUAUAGACCAACCACUGCACUGCAAAUCAGCUGUGCUGUUCACAGCAGCUGUGAGAGUGGUGGGAGUCAAGUGCUGUACAUUAGCAUAUGUAAAUGUUAUGCAAACGUGGUUAUCUAUGCCCCAUACCUUUGACUCAUUAGUAAUACCCAUGGGCAUACUUGGAAGGGAGAAGGCUGAGAGUUGAAUUCAAAAUGUAUUUGUCAUCUUUCAGUGACCCAUUAUUCAGCAGCCUCACCUUGGCCUUUGGCUGAGAUUUAUGUAACGACCGCAGAGUAUAUGGCCACAAAAUCUUAUAAAGGUUCCCAGUUGCCUGAUCUUCAGAAUCAGCUUUAGCAAGUGCUGGUUUGUGCUGUUGCAAUUGGCAUAAUAUCUGGCAUUUGGCUGUUGAGGGAUAACAAGUUCACAAAGGGAGUCCAACAUUUUUCAUAGGGCCUCCAUAGUUAAAAAAUAAGGAUUGCCAAGAUGGUGUCCUCUAAAUGGUUUGGACUACAUCAGCUCCAGUCAACACAGCAGUCAAUGGUCAUGGAUGAUGUGAGUUGUGAUCCAAAAGAUCUCGAGAGCACCAUGUUGGCUACUCCAAUUAUGGAGUGUCUUUCAACCAUGUGGCCCCUAAUUAACAUAACAUAGGUGGUUAAAGCACAAGAUCUUUCGCCCUCAAAUGCCCUCACUGAUUGGCUACCAACCUUUGCAGCAAAAAUAAAACCUCACAAAAACUGAACAUACUGCUGGUAUAAAAUGCCUCUACCCCAUACAAACCUGGGCUUGAAACCUCAGUAACUGUGUGUGUGUGCAUUGGAUUGGCUAUGCAAAGCUGGGGAAAACAAAUUUCUUGUGACCGCUGGUGUGACUUCCUCCUAUUCUUCAGAGAUUUUUACACAGUAAUUCACACAGGCACUUUGAAAUGCACCGUGUGCUUAAAAGGUGCUAAAAUUGUACAGCUUCCGAGUAAAGCACUUUGGGCUGUCUAUAAACGCUUUUCAGAAGUAUAUCAUAUUCCGGGGGGGGGGGGGGUCUUCCCUUCCCCCAUUGCAACCCUGCAUGCAAACUCUCUACGUAGGAACCAAACUUUAUGUUUCUCUGCUAGAUUUGCUCCUUUCUCCUAAUUCAAUGAAGGAUUUUUGUUGUUGGACAAACAGCAAAGGAUGGCUGAUGGGGCAGGAUUUGAACUUGAGGGCUUGGAACAAAUUGAUGCCAAACGAAGUGUCUGGGCCUUGGCGUCCUGGACUCUUCUUCUCUCUUGCCUCCUUGUCCCAGAAGAACGUUGCAGGCAGAGAUAACCCUCCUUUCUCCCGUUGUACAAUUUAUUAGAUAAUCUGUUUCUAAUCAAGAACUAAUUAAAGGAAGGGAAUGCUUGGUUGGAAACGGGGAUUAAACAUGGAAAUUAUUAUAAAUGCUACAUUUCUUGCUGCACUCAGGCUUAUUCAUUCCCUGGAGCUUUCCCCCUCACCUCUUGCAGGCUGUUCCUGAUAAUCGAGUGUGUGUGUGUGUGUGUGUGUGUGUGUGUGUGUGUCUUGCUUCUACAGCCUGCAAUUCUUCAUUUGGUUUUGUUGGCUAAUGUUGCGUUUGUCCAAGGACAUUAGCACAAAGUGUUUUCCUUCUUCUUGCAAAUCCAUUUGGGCGGCUGAAACAGAAGGUGGGGAGGUGUCCAGAUGCACACAAACUCAAAAUCUACAAAGCAAAGCUUAUGAAUUAUUUCAUCUGAUGUGGACACGGCGAACUUGCUGCUGUUCUGCCAGCAAGAGGAAUUUCCUUGGGAUAUUUUCUUCUUUCCUUUGUCUUUCCCCUCCUCCCCUUUACUCUCCAUGUGCAAAAGACUCUCCUGGUGGAAGAUAUUGAUGUAUGUGAGAGCAGCUCCCGUGUGAUCACAGUUCUUCCAGCCUCACCAUCUUCUGCCUCACCUGCUAGAUGUGUUGCCUGUGGAAUAGUCAGGUUAUGGCUCUAAGAUGGUUAUGUAAGUUACACCUACCCAGCUGAGGUCCACAGAAAUGUUUUAGAGUCCUGGACCAGGCACCAUUUGGCAGGAAGGCAAAAUAUCGCCAUGAGCUCCUGAGCAACAAGUUGCUUUUAGCCUAAGGAAACGGCGAAAGUUCCAUUUUUGGAAAGAAGAAAAUUACCCAGAAAAAACAAAGAUUCAUUAAAAACAGAAACCCAGCAACCUCAUUUACAUUUAUGACUUCUACAUUUAGGUCCUUUAAGCCUGUCAGAGAACUCAUUGUAGCCACAAUUUCUGUAGGGCAGAUUUAUAAAAGCUAAUAAAUACGUGCUUAGCUUGUGGCUUUUGUUUUAAUACCAAGAGCUCUGUUCUGCUCACUUGAACGCACAGUACAAGUUCAUUUAUCCAGAGUAAGGAGCAUUCAGUUAAGUGGAUGAAUAUUCAGAUAUGCCGUCAUUGCCGUUGUUGGCAAUGACCUGGUUCACACAUAAUGCUGAACCAUAGUUGAUGUUAGCCAUAGUUAAUAAACCAUAGUGAAAGCUGAGGUGUGUGGCAGAUGAUUACUUAAACCUCAGAAUAUCAUGUCACAGAGCAACUGAGCCUUAACAGACAUUUGAAAUUUUUGUUGCUCUCUUGGAUGGUGGCAUCCCCUUAACGAUAGCUGAGGAAGUCUAGGUUGGCACAAAAUGCUAAGCUAUGGUUAACAUCAACUAAGGCUUAUAAAACAACUGCAAACCUUGGUUAAAUAGCACUCUUUAACCACAGUUAAUACCAGAGUUGUACUGCUUCACUGGGUUCACAUACCAUGCUAAGGCAUGGUAUAAUAAACUAUGGUUUAGCAUUAUGUGCAAAUCAAGCCAGUACAAAAGCUAUCACAGAAAGCUUCCAACACCAGAUGACCUGGAGCCAAGCUAUGCACACCUGCAUGUGUGUUCCUUUAUCUGGAUAUUUAUUUUUAAUGAAGAACAGUUGUGGAUGGCUGCAGACUUGACUGGAAAAUUGAGGGUGGAAACAGGAGCAGAGAAGCUGAGACGUUUAACCCAUUUCUAGCAGGAACGUUUUGUACUCACAAUUUUCCCCCACUCCCCAAUCACUGACUCAGGGCAUUGUGUGCCACACUGUGUGAAUCCUACAGUCUUAGGUGCAUCUGAUGACAUUGUAAAACUAUACCAAACACUUGGGGAAAUGAUAAAGAAAUAGUCCCAAGAGAUCAUGGCGCGUGCGCUUAGAUAGAUGCUGCAAGGAGUACAAUGACUCCAGUAAAAAUGGGCACGGCAGAAUAAAUAAAUGUAAAUUCUUACAAAUCCCUCAGACUGUGAUUGGUUUAGGAAGUUCUGGAGCAUCAUGAUCAUGCAGUCUUGCGCAGCUCCUAUUCAUUACAAAGGGCUUGCUCCAGAGCAUAGAUUGCUUACAGGAUAUAUAAUAAAACAGGUGUCAAAACAGAUUUCCUGCGUGGCCUUUAGCAAGUCAUUUAAUUUCUUUCGAGGCAAUAUUCUUCUUCAGGGGAUGUAUAGUGAGGAUGGAUUUGUCUCUUGCUCUUUCUAAUUUUCUUUUUAAAAAACUUUUUUAAAAACAGGACUAAUAAAACUUGUCCACUUGCCUUGCAGGGGUAUCGUGUGGAUUAAUUAGUUUGUGUUUCCUCGAUGCUUUGGAAAUGUGAAGCAGUGUACGCAUUAAGUACGAGGGCCCCCAAUACAUUACUUUUUAAAAAAUAACAUAAACAACGCCAUAUUUCACAAGGAUGUAUAUAACUCCUGCACUCAUAAUUAAAUCUCUCACUCCACUGCUUGGGCUCUGCCUUCACAUACCUUCCUCCUUCCAAGGGGGUCUAAAAGCCAACAUCCCCUUGAAUAAUAGGAGAGGCAAGGAAGCCAGGGCAGUGAUUUAUAUAAAAGGUGACAUCUUCACAAAGCCCAAACUUCAAAGCGACAGGCUUCAGAUCCUGACUUCUCCUUUUGUUCGAACCUCCCCAAGGUCAGCGUCAUUAUUUUAGAAACUGCAGGGACCUUGCGAUCCAUCCAAAUGGCAGCCCAAGUAGUCAAAUAGACUUCUGCAUGUCAGGCAAAGUGUUCCAUGCCAUCACCUGCAUCCCACAGAGACUCGGCUCUUAAAGGACACGCGGAGGUGAAAAUAGCCAACGAGUCGGUGCCCAGAAGAGCAUUAACAAAAACUGUUUAACAAGGGUGUUUGGAGGGGUCAGUUGCUAGGCUGAAAUGCAGGGAAUUCUGUCCCCUUUGACUUUGCAAAGACCUUGCAGGAGUCACAACCGGGCAGCUGUAGUGACUGCAGGAGUCAAAUGUAAGCUUGAUACUGGCUGGCAGCCAAUCUUGAAAUUGUUUUCAGUUUAGUAAAACAAAGCUACGAAACCCACCAAAAAAACUCAAUCUAUGAGAAGGAUGCCCCUCCUUUAUAUUAAGUCUGUUUUAUUCUGCAAUCCUCCUCUCCCCAGACCCUGCAAUCAUCAUCUGAGGCCCUUCUUUCCGUGGUUCCCCCAUGAGAGGUCCAGAGGGGGGUAACAUAAGAAAGGGCCUUUUCUGAGGUGGCUCCCUAUUUGUGUAAUGCUCUGCCCAGAAAGACUCACCUGGCUCCUUCGUUACAUAUCCUUAGACACCAGGUAUAAAAUUUUAUCUUCUUCCUGGCCUUUGGCUAAUUAAACAAUCUAUGGCCUUUUAAACUGUGGAAGAGUAUUGUUUUCAUUUGUUCAUCUGCUAUGCAUUUUUUUGUUUUUAUAUGGUAAACCACCCUGUGAUCUCUGGAUGAAGGGCGGUACAGAAAUUUAAAAUAUGAUGAUGAUGAUGAUGAUGAUGAUUAGGGAGCAAGUCCCAUUGAACUCAGUGGGAUUUAUUUCUGAGCAAGCAUAUUUAGGAUCACGCUUAAAUGUUACUUUUCUUUUUUUGUGGGGGGAGGACCAUACCUCAGUGGUAGAGAAGCUGCUCUGCGUGCAGAAGGUCGCAUGUUUAACCUAUACCCAUUCUGAAUGAGUAGCAGAAAAAGACUGGCUCUCAAACUGGUCCAUAUACUCUCUAUCUCUCUGCAUAUUGAAGGGUCUGGAAGAUGGGGAAAGCAGGGAUUUGUUGUUGUUUUUUUAAAUGAUUUUUAUUAAAAUUUCAGUAAAAGAUUAAACAGAAAAACAUAAAAAAAGUACACAAGUACACAGUAAUCCAAAGAAGAAUAAAAAAACACAGAAAACAAAAAAAGACAAAAAUUUAAAAAAAAACAAAAAAAACAGGACAAUUAAAAACAAUAUCACCUUUUCAUUUCCAUUUUUAAAUUUACUUAUUUUCUGGACCUCCUCAUACCUCCCUCUUUUGUAUUCCAGUCCAAAUUGUUUGUCCAGCAAUUUCUUUUCCACUUUUUUAAUCCCAAUCUUUAAUCUUAAUAUAAUAUAGCAUUAAAAAUUUUACCUCUUAAAUACCAAAUUUCCAUUUCCUUCAACUUCUUUAAUCCUAAUCCUUAAUCUUAGUCUAUCUAUAAACUUUGAAUCCUGUACAGCUGGAAACCACUUAUUUUUAAUCCAACAUCACUCUAACAUUCCUUAAUUUUGCAGUGUUUCUGUAGAUAAUCUUUGAAUUUCUUCCAGUCUUCCUCCACCGACUCUUCUCCCUGGUCACGGAUUCUGCCAGUCAUUUCCGCCAGUUCCAAGCAGGGAUUUGGCCAGAAGGACCAUUUGCUGAGAUGCUGGGUGAUGACUAUCAGGUGAGGUGACCUUCUCUGUAUUGUUUUGUAUGGUUAAUAGCAAGAGAUGUGCAAAGUUACUGGCAUGGGUGAUUGAGCAACCCGAAGUGCAAUUUUGGUGCAAUCACUAGGCUGUGCAAAAAGGAUGGUGGUAUAUUUAAUAGGGCUUGUGACAUAUCUGUCUUACAGAACAGGUGCUCUAUCUGAACUAGCAUGCAUGGAGGCAAUCCCUUAGCUUUGGGUUGCUAGGAAAGACAGGGAGUUGUGAUACCAAAGUCUGGAACACCACACAAACCACCCGAAUGUAGUUACCAGAUUGGAUAAAGAAUUUAUUUGAGAAAAUUCUCAGCUACCAACAUGAGAUGAGCUCAGUGGUAGAGCACAGAAGGUCUUCAGUUCAGUCCUUGGCAUCUCCAUGCAAGGUGGAAAAGUACACCUGCCUGAAACCCCAGAACUGCUGCUUAUUAGUCAGUGCAGAUGAUACUGAGCUAGACAGAGAAACAGCCUGUCUCACUAUGAGGCAGCUUCCUGAUAUGGAUAAUGAAAUCUCAACAUAAUCAACUAUUCAGAGCAAUAUAAUUUUAUUGAGAAUUCUCUUUUGGAAAAAUGGGGUGAAAAAAAGGAAAUAAGAUUGCCACAGUUGUCUCGCCCUUGUGAUCUGAAUUAGAUUAUGAGAGCUUUCAUUUUAAAAGUGUCUUGGGAAUGUUGAAAUAUGGGAAAUGCUCAGGUUGGAAUUUUAUAGAGCUUUUUCUAAAGAGGGUGCCAUUGUAAUAUACCAUGAAUGUUAAAUGCUCGACAUGCAGACCCUACACACAUACCUACCUUCUUGGGUCCCCAACUAGACGCAGCUAGAGCAUAGCCAGUGAAGAAGUGAAACACAGUGAAUGCAUGGUUAGAUGCUAAUGGAUGCUUUUUUGCCUUGGGGAAAACUGAUACUGGUGGCAGGGGGAGAAUCAUGCGGUCUUGGCACCUCACUGCUCUCUCAUGCUCAACUCGUAUUUUUUUAAAUAAAUAGGGAGCGAGCUUCAUUGAAGUCAGGGGGGUGUACUGCUGAGGGGAGAUUUAUAACAUUGUACUGUUAGGGACUGAAAGAGGGGUGUUUGGUUAGCCCAGGGCUCUCAAAGGGUGUUGUGUGUGACACAGGUGUGACAGGAAGGGAUGACAAGGGAAGAUUCAAGGACAGUCAAAGAGUCAUUUAAACAUUUCAGUGUAUAUGUGUGUGUGCGCACGCACACACACACACACACAAAAUAUAAAGCAGAAUAUGGAUAGAUAUCUUUUCAAAAUGAGGGCAAGAACACCAAGUGAAAAUGAGGACAAUCCCAGUGGCGAUCCAGAAUAACCGUUUGAACAAAGUGAAAGAGAACACUCGCUUAUAAUUAUAUUUUGGGAAUGAUUCAUGUUCUUAUGUAGCUGCAUUGUUUUAUACUUUCUGAAUGUCCCAUGAUCAUAUUAUAAAGUAGUUGUGUUCUGUGCUAUAAAUCAAGCACUGCUGGGAGCUGUAUCUUUUUGUUUUCCAAUGCAUUUCUUAUCAUUGGAUAAACCCGAGCAAAUUUUUAUUCUGAAAUUGUGGCCCAGAAAGAAAGAAAAAGUUUGAGAACCACUGGAUUAGCUGGUGUGUUUGAAGAUGACAUUCCAUGGCUGGAAUCACAUGAGUGCUCUUCUGGGUUGAUCUUCAUGGCUGACGAGAUAUCCCUGCUAUACAGCAACAAAAGAAAAGAAUUUACCGUAUUUUUUGCUCUAUAGGACGCACUUUUUCCCCUUCAAAAAUGACGAGAUGGACGAGAUGGUUGGACAGUGUUCUCGAAGCUACAAACAUGAGUUUGACCAAACUGCGGGAGGCAGUGGAAGAUAGGAGUGCCUGGCGUGCUCUGGUCCAUGGGGUCACGAAGAGUCGGACAUGACUAAAUGUCUAAACAACAACAAAGCUUAGACCUGCCCCACAAAAUUAAAUACAACACUUAAGUUCAGGGCAUUUAUGUUUUCAGCUUGGCAUCUGUUUUUGUUUUUUAACACAGCAGUUCAGGGGCACCCAAGUCCACAGAGCUACUCAGGACUUUAGGCAGCCCUGGUCCAACUCAAGAUGCCCUGUUAACAGGACAUGUGGAAACCUCACCUGACUCAUCCCCAUCUGCUUCCUGAUUCAGGAAGUUCAGAGCGCCAAUGCACACCCUUCGUGCCCACUCUGUUCUUCCUGAUUCUUCUAAUCUUUGUAUAAAUUUGCCAUUGACUUUCUUUCUUUUCCUGCUGCUUUGCUCAUUUUCUAUGUUCCUUUGGAAGCAGAUGUCAGAGAAGGCUCCAUCCUUUAUCUAACUCCCAUCGAUUUACAUGCGACCCCCUCUUGUAUCACGGGGAGGAUGAAAAGGCACAGCACAGCAGGCUCUUUCUGCACCAAGGGUGCAGCAGGUGUGCAACUCAAUUGGGAAGCAGGCACAAUUGAGUCGAGUGCACAGAGGAUGCGGGAAGAGAGUUCCCAUCAUGGAAAACAGGGCAAGGUAGAAAGACAAAUCAGGGAUGAGCGCUGUAAAGAGGCAUCUAAUCUAGCUCGGCUAAAUGCAUCCCACUCAUGAAAGUCAAUGGUAUUAAGCAACAGAUGCACAUGGUUUAUAUACAGCAGACUCUGUUGCAACAUUUUAUUCACAGUCUAUAAUAACUCUGCGGGAGAGGCAAGGUUAUAUCAGGGCAAAACCUGGGUGGGAAUCAGAGCUGGCUUCCAGAAAUUUUCCACUCUGUUAGUGUUGAAGGAGGAGAAAUUACCCAGUGGCCAGAUUUCUGAUGGGGACACCUGGCAGGCAGCAUAUGACACCAUAGUUGAAAUAUCAGCACUGGUGUAUUCUCCAAUAUCCCGCUGAUGAAAAUCAGGACGCGGGACCUCCAGAUCCAAUUCAUGGAAGGGAUCACACUUUUGCCCCACCAGCCCGGGUCAAAAGAAGCAGGGGGGCUGAAUUCGUGAGGGGGCAGGCUCCCCACACCCCAGGCCAAAGCACCAGCCAGGACAUACCUCAGGGUGUGCACAGGUUCAGCAGUACGAAGGCAAACAGGAGCCAGUGGGCAACAAGAGCCGAUCUGCUCCUACCUCCGGUUCAAAUCCCCAUUCCUGCUGCUGUUGGGCACAUGUCCACACACACACACGCCAGCCCAAUGCAAAAACACAUCUUUGGUUCCCGUGCUCUCGCACAAACCAGCUGACUCGCACAAGAGCAUGGGACCAAAAAUCAGGACAUUCAGCCAGAAGCCGGGAUGGCUUCUGUAAUACCAGGGUGUCCCAGUCAAAUCAGGACAGUUGAGGGGUAUGCACAGUAGGCGGGUAUGUUGCCUAUCUACCAGUGAGCUAGGUUCAAUGGUAAUGGCAAAUGACAGCAGCAGAAAUUGUUCCUGCAGCCUGACCACAAUGUUGCACCCUCCAGAACACCCUGGGGCAUUGUAAGAGGAAUGGAAGCCACAGUGUAUGCACAAAAUGGUGGAAGACAUAUGGACACUGGGCGGAGGAAGGCGGGUGUGGAGGGUGCGGUGCGCACCAGGUGUCAGCCAUGAGGGCGGGUGACAUCGCCGUGCCACCGUUCCUGCUUGCUGUGCGGGCAGUCCCCCGGACGCUCACCGCAUGGGCAGUGCCCUCGGAAGCUCGCUGCACAGGUGGCAGACCACUAGGGACAAUGCUGCCGCGGGCAGCUGGCAACGGCCCUCCCAACGCUCACCGUGCGGAUGGCAGGUGGCUAGGGAAGCUCGCUACGGGGGUGGCAAGCGGUGCCCCCACUCGCCACACGGGCAGCGGGCAGCUAGCCCCACCCCCGCGCCGCUCCAGGUGCUGGGGCAGGUAGCUCCGCCCCUGCAUAUGGAGCAAAUUCUGUAGAAUUGCCUUUUUAUUAUGCAGUGAAUAAAGGAAAAAAUAUUGGAAAUCUCAGGGAUUGUGAGAAAUUUUGGCUCAGCUCUAUUGGGAAUAUCUGUGAGUGUUGGGAGGAGAUGCUGAAGAUGUGGAAAGUGAAAGUCAAGCAUGACUGUUCCCCAUAUCAUUGGAUGGUGCUCUGGCCACCAGCACCGUUCUAGUUUUGCUUGAGCUUCAACGGAAGUGCACAAUUUAAGUGCUGCACCAAGUUAGAAGCUUCCAGCUCUUAUAGAGGUUAUUUGCAACUGACAGUUCAGUUGGCUAGGCUGAUCGCCAGUCACCCUCCCAAUGAGAGCUUGCCAAGACUGGAGAUGCCAUCUUAAUGGGAAAAGCAUUACGUGAAUUAGAUAACGCAUGAGAAGAUGUGAGAUCAGCAAAGAUCGGAGCCUCUCUCGCUGAGUUAUGACAGAGAUAUUGACUCAGCACUAGAGAUGUAAGAUUUCUGGAAGUGCUGAAGCCAUAGAGAAAAUACCACCCCGCCUAAUUUCUGCCCUGCUGCCCUCCCUCCCCAAAGAGCCCAUUUGGCACAUGUCUUGUAUUUAAAGGUAUAAGGGUACAAUAGUGGAAACUAGUCAUGGAACAAAAGUUUUUUUAAAAUAUUUUAUUUUUUGCAAUUUUCAGUUGUACACACAUUAAAAUCAAAAACAGCAAAAACAGGAGUAUCUGUGUGGUGUUUCCCUCGUUUUACACUUCGGUUUUAUCAGUGAGACUCGAUAUGCCUUUCACUCCUUCACAUGCAGGUAUGGAAAUGUUUGGUCUUUUUACGUAAUUCUGUACAGGGCUGUGUAUAGAAUAUGAUCCCCUGUUUUAAGCUAGUAUGAUAUAAUGCAGUCUUCAGCAAUUUGGUACUCUCCAGCUGUUGUGGACUACAAGUCCCAUUGGCCAUUGCUGAUGGUCAAGGAUUAUAGGAAUUGUAGUCCAAAAGUAUGGAGGACACCAGGUUUGGAAAGCUGAUAUAUUGGGUAGCUGGCCUCUGACUGGAAAGACCUGGGGCCACAUCAUACAUUCCAUUCCAAUAUACACCUAAGAUGUGUUAAGUGAACAUCCAAAUAUGAAAAGUGUGAAUAAAACAAAUGCGUUUGCAGACCUGAAUCUGGUACAAUGGUACCUCUAGAUAUGAACAGGAUCCGUUCCGGAGCCCCAUUCGCAUCUAGAGGUAAACGUAUCUAGUGAUGGCACGUCUGUGCACGUCUGCGCCGUUUUUCACUGCUUCUGCGCAUGCACGCGAUGUCAUUUUGAGCGUCUGCACAUGCGCAAGUGGAGAAACCCGGAAGUAACGCACUCCGUUACUUCCAGGUUGCCGUGGAGCGCAACUCGAACGUGCUCAACUUGAAGUGUAUUUAACCCGAGGUAUGACUGUAUAGGUAGACACGUCUGAGAGUUGCCAUUGGCUAAUACUCCCUGUUAAGCACACACUGGGUGGUAUUUCAAGCAGCACGAUCCUAGGCAUGUCUGAUUAGGAAUAAAACCUACUGAGUUUAAAGGGAGCAUAGCUUAGAUUUCCCUUUGUGUAAUCUAGAAAGUGACGCUUAGUCAUGAAACUCACGGGUUAGGCUUGGCAAUAUCAAUGUACCUCAGUCUACCCUAAAUGGUUGUUGGGGGCAUAAGAAGCUAUAACCCUCUAACCCCAUGCACCCCUCUCUGAGCUCCUUGAAGGAAGGGCAAGGUACAAAGGCCACACACACACAUACACACACUUCAUCAGGAAAACACAACUUCUGAAAACCUUUAAAGCAAAUAUGUUUACCAAUUUAUUCAGAGUCUUAAUCCCCCACCCCACCCCCUGUUCCUGAAACCUCAGCGCAGAUGAGAACAUUUGGAAACAAAAAGAAAAUAUCACCUAAAUUAACAUCUAAAGUCACAAAUCUCUGUGAUGGAGGAGUCAUCGGAGCAGAGUCACUGGCAUGUUUGCAGAGCCGGCCUCCCUAGGAAAGUGCAGCGUGGCCGGGAAUUAAGCCUUUAGUUCAUAUCUCUCUUCUAAAUGAAUCAAUUGCUCAAACGUUUUGCAACACAAACUCUUCCACUCCAGUACUUAAGGAAAGGAGCAGUUUGCCUUAACAGAAACAAAUAGGAAUCAUUUCAACAGGAUGAAAAAUUGGGCUUGACAGACACAUUUUGCUUUCAUGUUCAGCCUCCAGCUAACGUCGUAUUAAAGAUUAUGGGUGGAUUUAUUUAUUUAUUUGCCUCCCUGGUGUCAUGGAUUUGUGACUUUCGGUGUAGGGGGAAGGGAUGUAUUGUCCUUCAGUGUAUACCUGUGUGGUAUAGUUCACUUGUUUAAGGCACCUGAGUACAACUUCCUAAACGUAUUCCUUCUUUCACUGCACAGAUGCCCUUUUGCUCUCUCCUUGCAGCAGUAUAAACUUGGGUAAUAGGCUGCCUGCAAUAAGUGCUUAGAAAAAGGGAUUUUGCCUAGUGGUCCUGUGAGAUGCUACACAAGCAGUUUAGGGCCCAGGUCUGGAGAUCUCCAGGCAAAUCUGGUCCCCAGGCAAAUGAUUCCUGACAAAUAGCCACUGCUGAUUCAAAGAGAGUGAUGUAGUGCAGUGGUGAGGAGCCUCCAACCUCUGGGUUUAAUUAGACCUGCCGGGCCUCCUGGUUUGGCCCAUGAGGCUGCUUGGAGUUGGCCAAACCCACCUGUCACUCAUCUGACAUCAUCUGACAUCAGCUGCAAGACGGGAUAUCAGACGUUUACAGUGACCAACCAGAUGGCUUUGGGAAGCCUGAGAGCCACAAUGUUCUUCCCAUUUGUGGUUCCCAGUAUACUGUCUCUGACCAUGGAGGUAGAACAUAAUUCAAUGCUUGCGAAGGGACACCUGAGGCAGUAGACUAGUUUAGGAAACAUGCAAUUUAUAUUGCUCUGUCCAACAGCGGUGAAUGACUUGGGGUGGGGCCUUAUGAGAAGCAGCCAUCAUCUGCCACCUGAGGUGGGUUCUUCACUCUAUCUUAUAGUAGGUCUGACCCUUUCAUCCACUUCAUAACUAUUUUCCAGGGAAAUGAGAAAGCGCUGAGAUUCACCUCUGCCACUGGCAAGACAAACACAGUAAAGUUACUACUUGGUUGUCUUGUUUUCACACAUGGACCAUUUUCAGUCAACCCCGCUUCCAUAUCAAGAGACACUUGAUACAAGACUCAUGGAGUGGGCCUCUCAGAGGCCUAUUUAGAGUGAAAGAGGAAGGACUCUCUCAAAGACUUCCUUUGGAAUGGAGAUAUUCAGGUGUGUGGGGGGGCAACCAUACCAUGACAUACAAUUUCUUAUUCCUUCCCACAAAGAACAGAAUUGUGGGGGAGUUGCUUUUGGUAUUUUUUUUGUUUUUAAGCCCAACUAUAAAUUUCUAGAAGCUGGAGGUUUUUUCACUGGACUUUAUCUUUCUUUCCCAGUCUCUGCAUCAGAGAAAAGAAAAGGCCUUUGAAGGCCCCAUGGUCCAACAUUUUUCACACUUGAUUCCCUCCCUCUGUUCCUCUCUUAUUUUUCUGGCAAUAAACAACAGCUUGGCUUCAACAUCAAAACUUCCAAAGUUCAGUUAGUAACACCAUUGCCAAGGUUAUUUCACAUCUUGUAUGAGUUACCCUGGGAUGGUGGCUUGGGUUGGGGGAUAUCUACCUUUAGGCAAUAGGAAUUCAAAUACCAUAUUAUAUAUAACUGAUUGAGCCAGUGUAAUGCCAGCUGGUUCUCUCUAAUGAUACCAUAUAUCAGAAAGGACUUACACUAUAUUACCUGCCAUGUGGUGGAUGUAGUCAUUUGCUACAGAACUUGUAGAAACAAACAUCUGAAAGGCCAGCAGGAAUUCUAGCCCAGUGGCUUUCAUUCAGAAAGAAACCAGAGGAGAGAGGGAAGGAGGGAGGGAGGGAGAGAGAGAAUCGAACGACUUGGCCAGAAACUUUAGUUCCAGCAGCUGCCCACAGUCCCUAGCAGAGUCCCAUCACAACUCUCUCUCAACACCACCCGCUCUCCUUCCAGAGGUGUCUGGCUUCUUCUUGGCCAUGGUCAAAAAAUGUGUGGGGUUGGAAGGUGCCUCUUCAUUGGUGGCUGUGGCAGCUGUUGUAACUAAUAGCUACAACAGUCAUCAAGGCUUUUCACCAGAAGGAGGCUCAUUCACAGAUUCCUAUGUGAACCAGGGCUGUGAGGGCUGCCUAUUUCUUAAUCUGGGCUGCUUCUGAGCAGCAGGCCAAACCUUCAUUUUUAAGGAGGAGUAAAUACCUGGCAAUAAUUUAGACACAGAGCAUUUGCUUACCCCUUAGCUUCUUCUGCCUUUCCUUUGCAGUACUAAGUUCCAGAUGGUCAUUUUUUUUUUAAUCAGCCAUAGCUCACUAGAAAAAUGAAUACAUUUUCUAAAUAAGGUUAAGAUGUGACUGUAAGGUGUAAAAUUAAGUGCAUUUUCACUUUAAUGUGCAUGUGUAGAUGGGGGGGUGAGUCUGUUCAACUCUGUGGUCUGUGGGUUUCAUAUAUACAUAAAAAGCAAUUCUUAUCUGUGAGUUCCUUCAAAAAUGAUAAAAUUAUUCAAAACAUAAAUUAAAAGUAAAAUAUCAUCAGAAAUUUGUAAGAUAUAACAAAAACUAAUAUUUGUAAAACUGUGACCCUCAAAGCCCAAUGCUUUGUCCCUCUGAGGUUUGUGCCCUAGACAGCUGCCAAGUUGGCCUAAUGAUAUAGCACCAGCCCUGUCUUCUGGGCAACUUUUGGGGGUCCAUUUGCCAGUGGUGGGUGGGGUGAUGAACAUAAAUGUUAUGUAUGCUAGUUUCCACACCAGAGCUUUCUAAACUUUUCAUGUUGGUGACACUCUUUUUAGACAUGCAUCAUUUCACGACACAGUAAUUCGGUUUUACUAGCAAACCAGAGAUUAAACUAACCCCUUUCCAGCCCUGGGACACACCUAUACACUGCAGCUGGUACACUAACACGUUACGACACACAGUUUGGAAAGCUGUGUUUUACACUAACAUACCUCUCUGUACUUCAAUGAGGGAAGAAGAAGGUAUUACCAGAGGACAGAUUCCAGCCAGGCAAAAACACUUAAGGAAGCUAUGAAGCAGGGCCAAUUUAGGGGUGGCUUGGGGUCAGAGUGGUGGCUUGGGGAAAGUCCCAAGGGCCAGUUGAACAGGCUUGCAGGACUGCAUUCAUCCCCUGGGUCUAAGGUUCCCCACCCCUGUUGUCAGAGGGUGGGACACCCAUUCCGGUGGCUUCAUCCCUGUGCCUCUCAAGUUAGAAAUUAAGCUCCAGCUGUAACCCACGCAACUGUAUUCUGUUUGUGUUGGCAAAUAAGCUGAGGCAAUUUCCAGGGUGACCUUAGCGGCAAAUUGCCCCAGAAGGAAGAAAGGGGAAAGAAAGGAGGAUAAAAGAGCAUGCAGACAAUAUAUGUAUUUAUUUCUAGGCUCGGGAUUAUUUCUUGAUUAAUUUGCAACCUGCUGCUCAUUUGCUCCUAUUCAUUUCCUACUUAGCAUUUAGAGGAGUGUGCCUGACGAAGAGAACUUUCAGCAUGAAAUUUGUGUGAUGUUGGGAGCAGGCAAGUAAUUGGCCUGGAAAGAGCAAAACAAAACAGCCUCCAGGAAAGAAUAUGAACCUAAUUUGAAACCUUUUAAAGACAGAAAAUGGAUGUAGAUUCCCAUCAUCACACAGCUAACAGUUGCACAACAUAAUAAAGAAGUAUUACGAAAGCUGCCGGGUGCUAAAAUGCAAACAUUAUUUUUUUUAAUAAUAAUGUAAAAAAAGAAAAGGAAAAAAAAGCUCCACAUAUCAAAUACAGAUGCAGAUAAAGACCUAAAGUGGUCUUGCAAAUUAUAGGCUUUCAUAUCCCUCUAUUUUAUAGUGUGAUAUCAUCGAUAUUAACAGGACAAUAUAUCAUUACAAGAGAGGGUUGGCUAGCUGCCUUGAAGGAAGGAGCCUCAAAACUGUUCAGACUGCAUUUAUCCUGCAGCAAAUUGUAUUGGAGAGAGGGGAGCUGUUAGGUGUACUGUUCCCAUGGCAGAACAGAUAACUCCAACCCUAGGUCACCUAUAUAUUGUGCCCAGGUGGGGAAGAUGGAGCCUGCAGUUGACUGGUGGUGCCCUUCCCUACUGGUGCAUGGGCCUUGGCGGGGAGCCAAGUAUUCCAACCACUAAUGCCAGCCCUCAGACAGGGGCUAGCGCUAUUUCUUAGUGGCCUCCAUUGAGUUCCGCAAGGCUAAGAAAACUGGCUGUGGUCUCAGAAACAAUUAAGGUAUGAAGUGAGGGUAUGAUGCUCACACAAACCAGUGGGAGAAACCAGGAAGAAAGUUUAACCUCUUCCAUAAAAAUAAUUUCCAGUUCCCUUUUCCCUACUGUUGAAUCUUAUGCAUCCACAAUGCAAUUGGAUACUGAAGGGGUAAACAUGGGGUUAGUUUAGCAAACUAGUUUGUCAAAUAUUCUCUUUCUCAGAAGUGAUUUGCCUUUAGUGGGUGGGAUGGAGAGAAGCAGAUUUCUGGAGCUCAGAAACUGAAUGGGAUAUGGAAAUUUAUAAAUAACUUUUAAAUGUGUGGCUAGAACUGGAUUGGGGAGAUAGUUUAUAAAGCUGAUGUUUAAUAUUUUUAAAGUGUUCUAUACAGGGCUGGAUUUAGAUGAAGAGAGGCCCUAGGCUACGCCACUUGUGAGGCCCCUCCCCAUCCCUCACCCUCACAACCAGAAGAAAAUGGAAGAGUGUUAUAAACAAAAUUGAGUGAAGUCAAAGAUGAUGGUGGGUUUUUAAAAUUCUGCAAUUCACAAUUUCUCCUUUAAAGAACAUAAGAUAUUAUUGAGUUGCCCUGCCCUCACAUGAAGUCUUGGGUUUUCAAUUUUGUGAGAGGGGAGACUGCAGCUCUGGGGAGCGGGCAGCCUGGUGAGGCCCCCUAGAUUUAGAGGCCCUUGGCACUGGUUCUAUGCACCUUAUAUUGAGGUGUCAGUGUUCCUAGAGCAGCAAUGUGCUGCAUAAUGUUUGGUAUUUUGCACAUUUUCUUUUUUAAAAAAAGAGUGUUAACAUUUUUUAAAAAAAUGUUGAAAGGAAGUGUUCUUAUAUUGAUUUCAUUCUGCAUUUAUUGAAAUUUACACAUGCCCCAGAGUGAGACGUUUUUGUCGAAACCCUUUGGACAAUGUAUUUUUUUAAGUAAUAAAUUAUCUUUCAGGCAUUAGUUUGAGGUUUAUCUCCCUCCUUUUUGUUUUUCUUCUAUAAAUAAUCUAAAUUGAUUGAGCCUAGAUAUAUAUGUCAUGAUCAUACCCAGGUCAAAAAAAUUUUUGUUUGCCAUGGCCUUUCUGAACUGAUCACUAAUGCCCUUAUGGGAUUCUGUUUUCUUUCUUUCUUUCUUUCUUUCUUUCUUUCUUUCUUUCUUUCUUUCUUUUUGCUUUAUUGUAUUGGGGGCUGUUUGUUGUUGGGUUUUUUAUGACUUCGUAUGGUUUUAAAUCUUUGGGUACUUUUAAAAACUGUAAAUAUUGUAGAUGAAGAUAUUCAUUUCUAGUAUUUGUACCCUGCUCCUGAACUCAAAGGCUCCCAAAGACAUUUACAUAGAAUAAAUUAAAAUGAAAUCAGGAAGUGAGCUGGGGGAAACAACCCCAUAACAAUCAGAUGCUAUUAUAAAGUGCAAUAAUCUCUUUGAGAUCUUGAAAAUAACCCUGGCCAUAUGAUGAGCUACCUAAGUAUGCAUCAAUAGGCAAGUGGAAUCUGUGGAUGGCAUUGUUUACAUUAUAAACAAAUUGCAAAAAAUAACAAUAUUUGUGUUCUUGUUUAUUUGACAAUUCAUGGGUUUCACCCAGAAUUGUGCACAUAUUGGCGUAAACACAACAUGAGCAAAACCAUAUGUAUUCACUGGGACCUGACCACAUAACAGAAUGUGGGAAGAUCUCAUCUCAAUUUAUUUUGAUUAUGUAAAGCAGAACUGAGGCGGCAUAAGGAAGCCAUAUUUGCUGCAACUGCCCUCCUGAAAUGUACCAAGUUGGCUAUAUUCUGCCAACUCGGUUAGAAAUAUAAAUACAACUCAUUAAACUUUUCAAUUCACUUGCUGCAACUUUUCAGCAAAACUCUUCUACAAUUUCACCAGACCUGUUGAGUGACUUAAACAGGGGUUUUCUCCCAUCACAUUUUCCAAAGGCACCAUGGUACACCUGAAUCAGCACAACCGGACACCUGCAUCGCUCCCCAGCGACAGCAAAAUAUGCCUCUCUUCCAUAUUGGUCUCUACAGUCACAGCAGGCACUGUAAUUUCCCAGUGGUUUUACUUCACCCCCAAAGGCACACUCUUCCAUUGUCUCAUGAGACAGGCAGAUACUAACUAUUUUGGAAAGUUGCUUGUUUGCUCUACAUUUGGAUACCUUUUAAAGUAUCCUAACCAAAUUCUACAUGAUCAAGGAGCAGGUUUCAUCUGUGGUUGGAUACAAUUGGGUGCCAUUUUCAAUCAAGAUGGCGGACAACUUUUCAUAGCUGCACUGAUUUUAACCACUGAUGGCGCUGAUUUGGGAGCUUCUUAGAAUUCCUAACAGCAGGUCCUGCAAAUGAUUUAUAAUUUCAGUUUUCUUUGCAGUUGACGUUUUGCGGAAACAUACAGUUAUGGCCAUAACUUGCCACUUAAAUUUCAUUCCCUCACUGCAGUAGCUGGAAUGGUCAUGAACAUAGAAAUACAGAGAGAGGAUAUUCUUCUGCCAUAAUGACCAAUGCAAAGCUGCCCCUUUGUUGUGGUCCCAUCAGUUGCCGCCCUUCUCAGAGCUAACCAGAAACAGCUUCACCACAUCAGGUUGGUUUGGCCAAGCCUAAAAGGUGCUCCUUUUUGAAAAAUUGAUUAACAAUGACACAUUUAAAAUGAUAGUGCAAAUUAAUUUCUGAAUUACACCAUUAGUAUGUAAUUAAUUUCUCUGCUCUGUGAAAUAAAGAUAUCACUGACGAGCACCCACUGUCUAAAUCUAUAAAAGAGAAAGGAUGCUGAAUGAAGACUCCAUUAAUGUAUAAAUUGAUUUUUCCAUUUAGCUUCUUCUGAGGGAUUUCUCCACCCCCCAGUGCAUUUAUUUUUUCCCCCUCCAAGGGGAUGGGGGAGUUGGAGAAGCAGCCUAAUUUAUACUUCCACUGGUAAUCAAAAGAUCAUGAAUGUUCAUUUCAACCAAAUAAUGUCAUUAUCAAGGCUGUUCAAGCCGGUGUUGCCGUGGAAACGUAAAAUACUGAUGCUUCAGGUUGGACAUUCGAGCUCUCUUGUGCAAGCACAAUAAUGAGGGGUGAAUGUUAUAGUGCCAGUUCUGGGGUGAGUGGGAGGGCCGCCACAGCCACCCUCAGUCACGUGGGUGCCUCAUUCAUGCACCUUGCUACUUCAAACUACUUGAAACGUGACCCUUCCUCUACCUAAGAUGACCUGUUUCCUCUUUAGAACAUAAAAGGAGGGAUGACCUUGAAGGCUUGAGAAAAGGAACACAGGUAGAGCAUCAUUAAUGCAGCUUGGAAAUUAACCAAACUAUGCAGCCGAAAAGUAGUAAGAACCCAAAGGUUGGUUUAUUUUUGUAAGCCACUUAAUGAGAAACAGUAUCGAAGCGAUGUACAUAAAACAGUAAAAGAAGGAUCAAUAAGAUACAGAAUCAACAACAUUUAAAAACAUAAUGAUGUGCCUAGAUACACUUGCUGAAAGUUUGUAUUGGACAUCUGAAGCAAUAUAGAACAACGGUCCCUGCCUAAUGGUAAUAAGAAGGGAGAUCUAAAGAAUGGGGGCUGCCAUACUGUGGAGAAAAAUGCUGUUCGGCACGUGUGAAAGGGCAAGCUCUGUAAAUCGAAGAAGGCACAUUAGGGCAAAGCAACCCCUCAGGCAAACUGGUCCCUACCCAUUAAGGGAUUUACAUACUAAUAGCUAAACCUUGAACUUGACUUGGCAGCCAGCACAGAUCUCACUCCCAUCAGCAAUUGUGCUGCAGCACUCUGCACUAGCUCCAGGCUAUCCACAAGGGAAGUCUCAUAUGUAGUGCAUUACAGUACUCUAUUAUUACCAAUGCCUGGACUACUGUGGGCAAGGUCUCCCAGUCCAUGAACAGCUGGAGCUGUUGCACCAGUCAAAGUUGGUGGAACGCAUUCCUAGCCACAGAGGUCAUCACCUAGGCCCCUGAUGACAAAGAUGACAAAUGGAUCCUUUAGAAGAAAUGCAAGCCCCAUACAGAGUUGGCAUCUUGCCAAUUUCUUGGACACAGGAGGCACUCACCUACAGUCCCUCUGUCCUGCCAGGAUUCAAUGUCAGUUCAUUUUCCUUCUUCCAGCCCAUCACAACAUCGAGGCUCAGGGCCUGCACAGCCUGUCCUCACCCAAGUAUUAUCAGCUUAGUGUCAUCAGCAUACUGAUGGCACCGUGCCCCAGAUCUCUUAAUGACAACUCCCAAUGGCUUCAUAUAGAUACUAUCAUAUUUUUUCAUGCAUAACACACACACACCAUGCAUAAGACGACCAAUCUAGUGAGACAGUCUCUUCCUCAUUCCAUUCUCAAUCAAAGUAAUGUACCAGGGUGUCCAAGACUGAUUUGGCCCCCAUAAAUAGGCCUGAACCCAGACUGGAAUGGGUCUGGGUAAUCAGCAUCAUCUAAGAAUGCCUGAAGUUGCCCGGCCAUGACCUUCUCCACCACCUUUCCUUAAGAAGGGGAAAUUAAUUUUUGACUUGUUGGCUGUUAGUCCAGAGACUCCAGAUCAAUGGGGCUGGGGCUAGCUACUUUAGGAGCAGGCGCCCCAUGGCUUCUUUCGUAUCAUUACCAGAAAUUUGCUCCAAGGAAGCAAAGUCUUGUGGCACAUCACUCAACCAUCCCAAUUAGAGUGGGACAUCCUGGAAUUACAGAAGUCAUCCUGGCUUCUGAUUGGAUCCCAGAAUGUCUGAAUUUUCGGUCUCACACUCUCACAUCCUGAUUUUGAUCAGCGUGAUGUUGGAGGGUAUGCAUCACUUAUCACAGGUGAUUCUCUCCUAAUGGGAGAAGGAGGUCAUGUAGCUGAGGUCAACAGCCGACCGGCUGUGCUCUACUGCUUACCUUUAUUACUGAACCCACUUGUGAACAAAAUCUUCCCUGUGGGCUUAAGCUCCAGGUCCUGAAACUGGUGCUACACGGCCAGCAUCCAUAUUUAUCGUUGUGCUGUGUCAUUUAUGCAGAUGAUCCUUUGACUGAUAUGCAGCAUUAUUUUAACGGCAGCGAGCUAUUUUAAAAUAUACAUGCCGCUCUAGAAAUAUGCCCGCUCUCAUCGCCACCAGGAGAAGAUGAAUGGGAACGCUUUAAAGAGAAACCAGGUACUCCAUCUUGUCGGAAACGUUGCUUCACACUUGCAAAAGUGCCGAUCAGAAGCGCCGGAUCUUUUGCAGCUGAUGUUCUAGCAACUGAAGCGAACCCCUUGUCCCUGCUCGCAUCAGGCAUCCUGCCCUGCAGAUCUUAUGGAGGGAAAACAGUUAGAAACCAGGUCCAAAAAGGAAGAGGAAUUAAAAGAAUAAUUUAAAGCAGAGGCGGGAAAACCUUUUUCAUCCUGAAGGCCACAUUCUUUUCUGAGCAACUUUCAAGCGGCCACAUGCCAGGGGUUGGUGGGGCCAGAGCCAACAGUGAGAGAAGCAAUGAAUGCAAAUUUUGCCUUUGUACAGUAGACUAGGGACUCAGCUAUACAGCUGCAAAUAGAACGUUUUAAAUGUGUUGUGAAGUGCAAUAUACAAAUGUGACACUAGAUGGCGACAGUGAGCUAUGCCAAAUUCAAUGUAUUUUUUGAAACGUUCUGGGGAAAAACAUUUUCAAAGUGUUUUUAUAUGUGUGUGGAUUCCACCUAGUUUCUUCACACACUCACACAACUCUCUCUAUCUUCCUUCCAGGCAAGCAAGAGUCAUUAUCAGAGUCCAAGGGCACUUUUUCAGGCAGGGAAAACAUUUAAGUAUGACGCAAAACCAGGUCAAUGAGUGAUGUGGCUUGGGGAGAGGAAGUGUGGCUGUGCAUGGGGUGAAGUCCUGAAGUUCUCUCCCCCCUCCCCCGCUCUUCUGCAUUCUUAUAACUCUUGCUUAGUACAAUGAGCUUUAUACACAUUGCCUUGAUAGUUUUUGUAGCACUCUGCCAGAGCUAUAGGCAAUGCAUCUCCACAAUCCAGAUUUGAUUCUCUGGCUCGAUGGAGAGCCCCCUUCACCACCGAGCCCCCAAAGUGCUGUCACAUCAGACUCUGGUCAGCUGUUUCAAGAUCAAACUGUGUAAGAUUCAUUGCAUUUACUUAUUUAAUUAUUUCAUUUCAUCUCUUUUGCUCAUUGGGGAAAUGUGCUUGCCUUUUAAAAUCUUAAUAUGAUGUCCUGUCGGCAUCCGUCUGUCUCGGUGCAUCUUUGAGGGGUGAAGUCAAACUGUUGGAAGGUUGCAGGGCCUGCUGUGGCGGUAGAGAUCGAUAAGGGAGAGACAUGCUUAGUUGCAGCUGAGGCAGAUGAAGGCAUCAGUAGAGCAAGCCGGUCAGGUGCCUGGGGCGGUGCACGUGCCCUGCGCCCAGGGGCAGGGGCAGCCACCCGCGGGGGCGGGGCAGCCACCCGUGGGGCGGGGCCAGCCAGGGCAGGAUGCUCCACAGGGCCUCCGAGGAGUCUGCCUGCCUCCUUCCACUCAGCCGCCCUACAGCUGGGGGGGGAAGUGCCGGCAGACCAUUUGGGGCAGCACGGAGCCUGCAGGUGCCCAAGCCACCAUGUCACGCCCAGGGCGCACUGCAGGCCCCGCCAUGAAGAGAAGAAGAAGAAGAGUUUGGAUUUGAUAUCCCGCUUUAUCACUACCCGAAGGAGUCUCAAAGCGGCUCACAUUCUCCUUUCUCUUCCUCCCCCACAACAAACACUCUGUGAGGUGAGUGGGGCUGAGAGACUUCAGAGAAGUGUGACUGGCCCAAGGUCACCCAGCAGCUGCAUGUGGAAGAGCGGAGAUGCGAACCCGGUUCCCCAGAUUACGAGACUACCGCUCUUAACCACUACACCACACUGGCACCACACUACAUCACCACCGUGAGUGCUGCCCGGCAUUUUGUCACCUCCCCCCCAGUGGCGACACCCGGGGCGGCCUGCCCCCACUGCACCCCCCUUCCUCUGCCCCUGGAUGAAGGUUUCCAGUUGUGCUGCUGCAGAUGCACCAUAGCGUUUCUUCUCUCUACACUUCUCCUGGCGGUCAUUCCUCCUCUGGUCACUGCUACGGAUGCACAACCUGUCUGUCUCCAGGCACUGCAGUCGUCUGCAAGGGAUUCCCACAUGUGUCAAUGUUGCCAGCCUUCAUGUCACAUUUGCAGAUCUCUUUAUAACACAGAGUUGGUCUGCCAACGGGCCUGGUGCCUGAAGCCAUCUCCCCAUAGACGACUUCCAUGAUGUAUAGAGGGGCUUAUCCUAAGAGGGUGGAUAAGGUCCCCUCAUUAGUACACAUGCUGGAACUGGCAAUCAGGACCAUUAACAAGUUUUUGUAUUUAUAGUCAUGUAGGCCAUACACGGCAUUCAGAUACAUCGUUUGUCUUGGGCGCCUCUUUGGCAAAGCCCUUUUGCCUGGCACACUCAGCUCUGCAGAAGUUGUUCCUCUCCUAGUGUUCUGAGCACGAACACAAACAGCCAUUCAGAACAAUAGUUCAAAAUUAUUCAAAAGCAAUCAUGCACUCCGCUGAAACAUUUUGCCCUGGCAUCUCCGCCAGCUGCUCAUUCCAGAAAGAAAAAAAGGGCCUGCGUUGAUUUAUUAUUUUAUAUUAUUUAUAUCUGGCUUCUACAGCCCAAAGGGCUCCCAGAGUGACUUGCAAAUGAGUUAAAACAUGGCAAUCUAUUUCAAAGCGCAAAAAAACCAACAACUCCACAGCAGAGAGCAGAGAGGAUACAGAGACCUUGAAGAGAUCUAAAAUGCCUGGUCAAAUAAAAAAAGUAUUUAUCUGGCUCUGCAAAGGCAUCAGAUUCAGUGCUGGAUGAGCAUCCGCAGCAUGAGUGUUUCAGAGUCAAGGCACCACAACAGAAAAGGCCCUGUCACUGGUCACCACCUGCCUCACCCCAUAGGUGAUGAUGACUAAACACAAUAAACAGCCAUUCUAAAAGAGAGGCCUGUUGGCCAGCUUUGGUUUGUCUUGAGAGCCAGUGUGGUGUAGUGGUUAAGAGUGGUGGACUCGUAAUCUGGUGAACCGGGUUUGAUUCCCCGCUCCUCCACAUGCAGCUGCUUGGUGACCUUGGGCCAGUCACACUUCUUUGAAGUCUCUCAGCCCCACUCACCUCACAGAGUGUUUCUUGUGGGGGAGGAAGGGAAAGGAGAAUGUGAGCCGCUUUGAGACUCCUUCGGGUAGUGAUAAAGCGGGAUAUCAAAUCCAAACUCUUCUUCUUCUUCUUCCUCUUCUUGAUGGGCUCCAUGAUGUGCAGACAUGCUGUGGGUGAUCGUUGCCCCUUUAUCUGCGCAUUAGGAAAAGCUGCUCCUGCUUAAUUCCCGUUGUCAUACUCUUGUUAAACACAUAGGACCAAAGCCUAUGUUAAAGGACCAAAGGGUUAAAGUAGCAAUCCUGUCCUUCCACUCUGUAGCUUUUAUGGCUGGAAGGAACCAUGCAUGAGAACGCAGUCUGCUCGGAGGAGGGGAAGCCUGGGCUUCAUUCAGCACUCGAAAUGUCUUGAGUCCAGUAUGCCGUGGAGAGAACUCCCCCUUCCCUCAGUCCCAUUGCAAUCCAUAUGACUGAUUGAAAGUGCCGCCUUUGCUAGUUGCUAAAUCUGCCAUGAACCCACACUGAUUAAUGGCAGCAAUUCGAGUCAAGUGCCUGUUUUUUUACUGAGGCGAAGAACCAUUUGAGCCUGUUUGGCUCACUAGCCUCGUGGAAUGUAGAAGAUUUCCUGGAAAUCGGGCCCUGGGACUGCGGCCUUCAGGCACCUUUUAGAAGUGGCUGUUUGAGGUGGCAAGGGGGGGGGGGAGAGGGAGAGAGAGAUAUUUCUAGAAUGGCAGUGUGUCAAAUGUGGGUCCAGGCUUUGAAUGGCUUAGAAGAGCCUGCUGUUAAUAAUGGGAGAGAGGCAUCAUAGAAAGGGCUAUAGGCCCAUGACGCUGAGGCCUUGAGGUUCAAAAAUGGGAUCUAUGCUAGUGGGAAAGCUUGAAGGACACGAGGAGAUGAAACAAAGGGGCAAACUGCAGAAGUACGCCUGGCACCUUCACAAUGCAUUUUCUGUCAUAGGCUGAGGGCCCACCCCUUUGCCCUAGACUUUGAAACUUGAGGUGUACAUUUUUAAGACCCUUAUCCUAUUAUUAUUGUAAUCAGUUUUAAAUUAUUUUAAAUGUUGUGUUCUAAAUGGCAUUGACCUUAAUGUGAAGGGCAGGUUGGUAAUGGUAAGAAGAAGAAGAAGAAGAAGAAGAAGAAGAAGAAGAAGAAGAAGAAGAAGCAACAAUAGCUAUUGUGGAGGCCUUCUACUGGUGGCCAUGCCUACAAGUAACAAAUAGGUGCCAACUCCCUUUCUUCCUUUGGAGGACUUGGGUAGCUAAGGCAGUGCUAGAGGGAAGGAUGUUCCCAUGAAGGGAGAGAGAGACCACCAUGCACAAAGUAUUUACAAUGAGCAUUCAAAACCUUUGACAAACAUAAUCUCAGGAGAGAUGGGGGCAUGCUUAAGGGCUAAAGAGUAGAGACGCUGUAGUGGAAUUCGAAAUGUGUUCUGCUGGUCUCGUAGUCUUCACCACUGCCCUCCAUCAUGUGUUAGGAGGGACCAUGAAGUUGUGCCACUCCUCCACUCCUCACUCCUCAACAUCAUGCACAGCAUCUCCGAUAGUUGUUCUUGGUACUUGUGCAGCAUCAUUUUACAAAACCACCUGGAUUGAAAUGGUCUGCCUGGCUGGCAGGGGCUGAUGCUGGACCACCACCCAGGAACAGCAUAUUGCAAAGUGGGUGUUGGAGAAAUAGGCGAUUCCUCCGAAUCCAUAAUUUCUCCUUAAUAGUAGUCAUCCAGAUCCCACACAAAUGAACAAUAACUGCUUGUUUUGUGCAUGUGAUAAACCUAUCAUCAAGAAAGGCAUUAAAAGUAACAAGGGAUGCAAAUAUUCAGUCUACAUGGUAACCAUUUUAUGUCCAGAAGCAAGAGGAUGGAUAGCCCUUAAUUUCAGCUAAAUCAAGGCAGCUGUGCAUGCUAUUGGUAUCCAUCUACAGUAUCUUGAAACAUUUUUUUAAAAGGUUUGCUUAGCCUUUUUCAGCACCACAGAGGAAAUUACACACUGUGAUUCCCUUGUCUAUUAUUUCGAUUCAUUUUCAUGGCUUAUUUGGAGUCAUUUCUGGGACGGAUUGGGAGAUGCUUCAUGUGUUGUGGCAGACACACACACACACUUUUAUGGGGUGUGUAAAAUGUAUAUAUACAUAAUUGCAUAUAUAAUUAUUUUCACAGAUACUUAAAAACAAAUCAAGCUAUUACAGCACACACAUUAAAAAUAAUUGCUACUUACUAUAUGGCCGUGUUUCUAAGCUUUCCUGCUUUUUAAGCCGGGCCAGCUGCUCUAUCUUUUGAUUGUUUAACACACAUACUUCCUUCUUCAUUUUUUUAAAAAAGGAGUGCCCCAAAAGCUCUCACACAGCAAACGUAACUUUUAGCUCUUCGUUCACACUUGCAUGCUCAGUAUGUGGUGAUUGCCUUGCCUAGUACUGAAUGAGGUACACUGUUACAAAUGUCAGUUCAGACAUUCAGCUGCCAAUCAUCAAGUUUAGAGGGAUCCAGUGCAGUGCACAUGAAUGUGUGAAUGAAGAUUUCCAUUCAGGCUGUUGCCCCUCUGUUAAGUGAUUGUAAUUGUUUAAUUGUACGUUGAAAUGGAAAAAUAACUCAGUACGUGUACUGCUAAAGGCAUGGUAUGGAAACUUCCACUGAAGCUAAACAAAGGAGUUGCAGAGAGCCUAAUAGUUAAUGAUUAAGCGAGAAUGUAUCUUUGCUGGCUCUGUCAGGAGGUGUUUAACUUAGAUCAUAUGAGGCAUUCCAUUAUAGGUCUCCAUUUGUGGUGUGUUAGUAGCUCCUUGUUCUGAAGCACCAAAGAGAAAGGAUGUGCAAAUGAGUCUGUCUCCAGGAACACAGUCUCGGGCUGGAACGCAGGUUGUUUGGAGAGUCAGAGAUUUGUCUUUCUAGGAUAUUUUGCCUGUGCUGGAAUCAGCACAUGAUAUUAUGGAACUUUCUGGAUGCAACUUUAUUUGUUUUGGUACAAGUUCUGUUAGUCAACCUUUUGAACCAUAUUUUUGGACUGGACAAUUUUUAUUUCAGGGAUAGUCUGUUUGUAUUCAUCCUAUUGCUUCCAAAUGUGCAAUAUUAAUAACCUUAAUAUCACCCAGCAGCAGAAACCUGAGUUGCACAUCUCAGAGACAUCCAAUGAACCCUGCAGGUGAGUUGUGCAUUGAAUGCCUGCAACCUGGUGUGUCACGAUGAAUGGCAGAAGUGGGAGCAAACAGGCAGAAAAUAUUUCACUCAAUUUCAUCGCCAACUUUGGAGGGAAAACAUGAUGCGCUUUCUCACAUAAUAUGGUGCCUGUGCCACAAGAGGAAUGGGGCUUGCAUUGGUCUGUCACGCGUCAUUCCUGGGAGGCUCCACACUGUUGCCUCUCAUUGUAAAAGAGAAGUUGCAUCAUCAGAACAUUCCUCCCAUGACACGAUGCCGAUUCAUGUCCAGGGAAAAGCACAGUCUAUGGAAAGCGCUUCUGAAUUUCAAAGCUAUUGCUGUUUUCACUGCACACGGCACACUCAUUCAAAACAAAAUCCAUUCUGAAAAAGGCAGGACUUCUGCUAAGAUUUAUCCUCCCCCCAUUUGUGAAGAGUUCAGAAUUAGCAAAUGAUCCUGAAUUACCUGAGUCACAAAAUAAAGUUCGUGCAGCAAAACUUUUCCUUUCAGAGGAAACUUUUCUGCCCUCGCUCCCUCUAGUUGUGCCUCUUUCAAGCCUGCCCCUACGUCUCAUUACCAGCUUUGGUGGCAGCUUGGAAAAUGAUGAAGAGAUGAAGGUGGAAUCUAAAGUGACAGGAGACGGAUGAGUCUAGGCUUCGCUGGAAGUUAGGUUAAGCGAGGUGCUCGUUCUUUCCGCCACGAAGCCUGUCUCUACAGAAUUGCCUUGGAAUCCCUGCAGGGAAUCUAAUGGCGCUCUUUACUCCGCUCACUGAGCAGGAACCGGCAGCACCCAACAAAACCCUUCUUUACUGCCGCCAAUAGCAAAGCAUCCAGGCUACGGCGAGCCCACUGGGAUAAUCCCCAUUGUGAAAAAUCUUCCCUGGGAUAAUACAGUAGCAUCUCCCAGGGAGCCCACUUUGCAGCCGCAAUCACAAUUUGCAUAGUGCCAUCCAUUAUGUCCUGCAGCGCGACUCAGCUUUACAAAGCCUGCGUUUUGCUGAUGGGUUACUCUAAGAUGGCAAUAUCAUUCAUAGUCAAGGCUCCUGCGUCUUCUAACCAUAGGCUGGCAAAUUCGAGCCUGCAAGUGCAGUGGCUUCCCCCGCCUUUUUGUCUUAACAAAGGCUGGGCUUCUCUCCUGCUUAUAGGUUUCUUCAAACACAGUGCGUACACAUUUUCUUUUUCUUUUUUUAAAUUAAUAUUUUUUGCUUUUCCAACGAUUUAAACACUACAAAAACAAUACAAUACAAUACAAUACAAAAACAUUACGUAACAUUGACACAUUAAACACAUUAAACUAACAAAACAAAACAAAAACAGUUUAAAAUAAAUCAAACAAUUUCAAUAUCUUAUCUUUCAUUCACUUAUUUCCACGACCUCCUCACACCUCCCUUCUUGUAUUCCACUUCUGUUAAUUGUUUCAGCAAUUCCUUUCCAUCUUCCUCUGUUUUCUAUCCUAUAAUUAUCUUAACACAUUCUAACCUUAUUUUUCCUUUAAUACUCUAUUAAUCUAUUUAUACUUAUUUCCUUAUAACAUUUCUACUAAAGCCAUAUAAUUUCAUUCCAACAUUUUUCUAACAUUCAUUAACUUUACAAUAUUUCUGUAGAUAGUCUUUAAACUUUUUCCAGUCUUCUUCCACCAAUUCUUCUCCCUGGUCUCGGAUUCUGCCAGUCAUUUCCGCCAUUUCCAUAUAGUCCAUCAACUUCAUCUGCCAUUCUUCCCGGGUGGGUAAAUCUUGUGUCUUCCAAUACUUCGCGAUGAGUAUUCUUGCUGCUGUUGUUGCAUACAUAAAAAAAGUUCUAUCCUUCUUUGGCACCAAUUGGCCGACCAUGCCCAGGAGGAAGGCCUCUGGUUUCUUCAGGAAGGUAUAUUUAAAUACCUUUUUCAUUUCAUUAUAAAUCAUCUCCCAGUAUGUCUUAAUCCUUGGGCAUGUUCACCAAAGGUGAAAGAAUGUACCUUCAGUCUCAUUACAUUUCCAACAUUUAUUGUCGGGCAAAUGGUAAAUUUUUGCAAGCUUGACUGGUGUCAUGUACCACCUAUAACCCGAGGUACCACUGUAUAUGUAUUCCAUGGUCGGCAACAGCAACAAAACUUAAGCCAUAUAUGUGUUUCUUCUUUCCUGUUAGCAAAACCAGAGGCUCGUCUAUGCCUCCCUUUUGCACCGCACUUUCCAAACGCAAGUCUGAGCUUUAAAGCUCUGUGUCCGAGCAGUGUGGUUUUUUGUUUGUUUUUUCUCCCAGUGCCCGGGGGGGGGGAAAUUUACCACUGAAUUGGGGCAAAUGGUACUCCACUGAAAACCCAAUUGAUGUUUGCUCUGAUUCAGCAGUAGACCACUUUUUCUUUUCUUUUCUGGGAAAAAGCGCCAGGACAAAGAAAAUUAAAAUACUCAGACAUAGAACUUUAAAGCCCAGACUCAUGCCUAGAAAGGUGGCACAAAAGAAGUCAGGAUGAGCCCCAAGUUUCAGACUAGAGUCAUAGGAAUUCAGGAAGCUGCCUACACUGAGUGAGACCAUUGAGCCAUCUAGUGUUUUUUCCAGUCUUAUCUGGAGGCACCAGAGACUGAAGGUGGGUCCUUCUGCAUGAAAAACAGGUGUUCUGCCAUUGAGCUAACUGACGACAAACUCUUUUAAGCAGACACAUCAGUAACCGAUGCACAUGCCUUUUAAUAAAUCUAGCCAUGUUUUUUUUUAUUUGUGUACAAGUGUGGCAGUGUGGUGUAGUGGUUAGAUCAGGCUUCCACAACCUCGGCCCACCAGAUGUUUUGAAACUACAAUUCCCAUCAUCCCUGACCACCAGUCCUGCUAGCUGGGGAUCAUGGGAGUUGUAGGCCAAAAACAUGUGGAGGUCCAAGCCUGAGGAAGCCUGGGUUAGAGUUCAAAGGCUCACUCAGCCAUGAAGCUCAUUGAGUGACCCUGGGCCAGUCAUGACCUCUCAACCUAACCUACCUCACAGGGUUGUUGUGAACAUGAAAAGAGGAGAGGGAGAAGUGUGGGUGCCACCUUGAGCUGCUUAAAGGGAAAGUGGCAUAUAAACGCAUGAAAUGUGUGAGAAAUAAGAACUGCAAAGAGCAUAGACGGAAUAAUAUCUCUUCCCGAUAUUCUCAGCUAAGGCAAAUAUUGGUAAUGUAGACAAUAGGAUCUUGUGUGCUUAAUUGAAGCUCCAGCUUCUGCAUCCCGCGAGCCUUUCCCAAACAAGCUUGUGCUAGCUUUUAGGUCAGGGUCAGGCCACUCCAUUCAAGAGACCACACGCCUUUAAUAUAUAUGAAAGGGGGAUAUAAAUCCAGAUCCACGCUCCACAAGGUUACAGGGUAAUUAUAACUUUUAGACCCAUUAAAUGUAAUUAGCGAGUACUGGAGUCUGCAGCAGGAACAUAUAAUUGCAGAGUAUGAAAUAAAGAUGGGCAACCUCAAGUGUCCUGAGUUAAAGUGAUACGGGAGCUAAUUCCAUUUUUAAAAUAAAAGAAAUAAAUUUUGAUUUGGGGUGAACCCAGUGCCAGAUUUAGGAAUAAGCUAAACAAGCUAUAGCUUAGGGCCCCACUCUCUUGGGGGGCCCCCCAAAAAAAUUAAAGGGGGGAAAACUGGAUGUGUAUUUCCAAAAAUAUAACAAUUACUUUUAUAAAAUACAUAUUUUGUUAUGUGCAAAUGGGUUUAGAUACCUAUUAGGUCAAUAAAUUACCAUAUAGCAUGUAUUCAACACAAAGAACAGCAACAAUUUGUUGUUGACAAAGGACAGCUGGACAUAUAAAGGGCCCCAUUACCUUCAGUAGCUUAGGGCCUCAUCAAACCUAAAUCCAGCCCUGGGUGAGGCUCUUACUUUAAAAAACAAAACAAAAACCACAAUAGUUGGAAGUGUCUUCCUGACAAAACUGUGGUUAAAACUGCUCGCCUCCCUUUGAAGACUGAAGACCGUGGUUGAUUGAUGAGGGGAAUUGCUCAUGAUGUGGUCACAGGAAGCACUGUAUUUUUCGCCCUGGCUACUUCCUAGUUCAAUAAGCAAUCUACAUGCUCAGGCAAGAUUGUGUGGGGAACCCAAAACAUAACUAGGAAAAAUCAUCCCGUUCUCUGGCCCCUGUUGAAAUUGGUCAGAUCAAGACAUUUCUAAUAAUAUUGCCUGUGCAUCAGCUUAGAACGAUUCUGCACAUGUUGCAGACAGGAAUCCUCAGUGACUGUCCUGUUACAACUGGGUGCUAGGAUUGAUGGAUCCGUAUCUGAAGGGAACCCAGGAUAAGCAAAACCUGCCCUGUGUUGGCGGGUGCGUGUAGAAUGCUAAUAUCUGAGCAGCAACUUAAAGGGAGAUUGUCACCCUUAAGGAUAUCAAAGAAGGAAAAGCUCCACCAAUGGGGAAAACCAUCCUGGGGGAAAGGGAAUGUUCCUUUCUCUUCAACUCAAAAUCUCAACCUGGAAUCCUGAACUGGUGCCCAAGCAUGAACAUUUUUUGGAAGAAGAAGAAGAAGAAGAAGAAGAAGAAGAAGAAGAAGAAGAGCUUUUCUUCUAUUAAAAGAAAAAAGUGCCAGUACUGUGUACCCUUGAGUACCCCCAGAAAAAUCACUGGUAUUAUCAUUAUCAUUUUAUUUGUACCCUUCCCAUCUGACUGGGUUGCCUCACCCUCUUUGGGCAGUUUCCAACAUAUAUAAAAACACAAUAAAACAUUACACAUUAAAACCAGUAAAAGGCCUUCUAUAUUAGAGCAGAUAUUUUGGUGACCAGGAUUAACGUGGUGGUGAAUGCUUUAAUAUUAAUAGAAAAUGUCAAGUACAGUGGUGCCCCGCAAGACGAAUGCCUCGCAAGACGAAAAAGUCGCUAGACGAAAGGGUUUUGCGGUUUUUGAGCUGCUUCGCAAGACGAAUUUCCCUAUGGGCUUGCUUCGCAAGACGAAAACGUCUUGCAAGUUUCUUUCCUUUUUCGUAAAACCGUUAAAACCCAAGGUGCAUUGCUUGAAGAGGUGCAGUUGCGACUUGACUUCGAGGAGCAACUCAUAGCACGCAGUGUGGUAGCCUUUUUUGAGGUUUGUGAAGACUUUGGCGAUUUUUGAAGCUUUUCCAAAACUUCUUUUGCAGCCAUUUGGUAAGUUAAACUUUUAAAACUUUUUUGGGGGUUUUUGGAUUUUGGGUUGGGGUGUUUGGAAUUCAAGGACUUGGUGUUGGGGAGGGGUUUGCAAGAAUCUGGAAGCUUGUGUGGUUUUUUUCUGAAUUUUUAUGAUUUUUUGUGACCAUUGGGCCACUCUGCUGUUUUUUUAAAAAAAAUUCUGGAUUUGAAUUUCUGUGUGGUGGGUGGCUGGGGGAACAGUUGAGGAGGGGUUUGCAAGAAUCUGGAAGCUUGUGUGGUUUUUUUCUGAAUUUUUAUGAUUUUUAUUGUUCCUUCAAUUUUUGAAUUUAUUGUUCCUUCAAUUUUUGAAAUGCUCUUUACAGUAUGUGUGACUUUAAAGACCACUUAAUAAACUCUUGUUGUACCAAAUUUGGCUUUGUUUGGACUUUUUUUGACCAUAGGAACGCAUUAAUUGAAUUUCAAUGCAUUCCUAUGGGAUUUUGUGCUUCGCAAGACGAAAAAUUCGCUAGACGGAAAAACUCGCGGAAUGAAUUAAUUUCGUCUUGCGAGGCACCACUGUAGAUAAAACCUGUGGAGGGAAUUCAAUGUCAAACUAUUAUGAUGGUUCUCUCAGCAGAAACAUUUCUGCUUGGCAGACAGAAUGAUCUCCCCUCUCUUCCCCCGCCCAGGCUGCUCUGAGGGGUUGAUCCAUCUAGCUCAGUAAUGUCCGCACUGUCUGGUAGCGACUCUGUGCUGUUUCAGGAAAGGAUUUGCCCGCCCUGAAGCCACACAGUUCCACUUACUGAACUUCUGCUUCCGUGGGUGUUAUGUACUGAAGUUCUCACCCUGGGCCAGCAGGGGGAUACUGUAAAUAGUUAUGCAAAUAAGGGAUCAAAAGUGACGUUCAGUGAUUGGAUAGUUUUAGAAAGUUGUUACAGUUACAUUGUACUGGAGCUCUAUAUAAGCAGGCUGACUGAACCCUUCAGUUCAGUUCUGUCCUGGCCUGUGAAUAAAAAAAAAAGAUGUUUGAAGAAUCGCUGUGUCGUCUGAUAUGUUCACCCACAACUUAACAGAGGAGCUCUUGAAGGGACAGAAACCUUGUCCUUUUCGGAAUAUAGUUAUAAUUACGUGAAGCCCAGCUGAUCUUUAAACCCUUUAAAGAAAUAAAGAGUAAGACUUCUUCACAAAAGCAUUUCAUUGCAUCUUUAAGUCAGCUGGAUCUUUCCUUUCCCAGCUUUCUACUUAUAAAUGUGGUAAACAUGGUGCCAAUAUUUUUUCUUUUCUUUUUAAAAGACAAAUCUAAAAGGAAGGAUACGCCAAAGAACUUUUCACAGUCCUCUUCUUCCUGCAAGGAUGCUACAGCGUCAAUGCCAAAAGAUGAUAAAAUGGGUCAGAAACAAAAGUGCUCAUUAAAGCGAGGUGUGACUGGAGUCAAGUGUGAGGUGAGUUUACAGUAUGUGCGCACUUCUUACGUUGACAGAGCGUCUUGCUUCUGACAUGCUGGCCUCCUUAUUAGACGCAAGGCCCUUGUAUGCAUACCCACCUCAAGAGUUCUGAGGCCAACAUUUCAGAGAGAAGAAAAAUCCCUGCUAACCUUACCGUAUGCACACACACCCCAAACUACUCUCUCGUAUUUCUGCUCUGGUCCUGAUACCUCAUUCAGGCUUCUCAGCAUGUGUGAGGUUCCACCAGUCUUGAAGAGCUUCCCCCAAGAGACAUUUGAGUAGGGAUAUCAUUAAAAACCUGUUUGCUUUGCACCUAACUGCUGCUUUCAAAGUAGAGAAAACGUAUUUACCAAUAUUUGUUUACCGGCGUAGUAGCUAGCCCUCUGUUUGCUAGCUCAGGAAUUAACAGCAGCAACAAGCAGAGGAAGAGGCCCAAGAGAAGCCUCCAUUUCCCAUCCCUGUUGCAGCCACUGCUCAACAGUAACUACCGGGAUCCGAAAGGGUGGUGUGUCUGGCCUCUCAAGAUCCUAAUAUAGUCACUCCAAGAACCUUGAUAGGCAGCCUUAACUCCUGAGUCUCUGUGAAUCCAAAAUAAGUCGGGAGUGGACUGGAACAGCAUGGUCAUGUUGACUAAGGUUGAUGAGGAGGAUACCAUGUUGGAGAAAAAGAAAAAGCAGCAAUCAUCCUGGUUAUAACAUCCCAGAGUUGCCCUGAUGUCAGAUAGGUGCACUCCCCUUUCCCAAAUGAUUAACUGACAAUUACAUCCAGCUCUUAGCUUCUUCUUAGCCUAUUUACCAAAAAGUCAGUCUGUCUCUGCAAUCCCACCCCCACAACACCCAUAUAUAUAUAUAUAUAUAUAUAUAUAUAUAUAUAUAUGCUUGCUAGUUGCCUGAGGGAACAUUUCUUGCCGUGUGCUAACUCUCUUGAAAGCCAGCACGAAUUUGCCACUAAUGACAUCUCUCAGAAAUGCAAUUAGCCCUCAUUCAUGGCAAAAGUGCAUUAGAGGUUCACAAACUCCAAGCGGGCUGUGAUUGGGUGAGCGCAUGAGGCUUAACACACUGAAAACUGCAUUAUAAAAAAAAAGAUGGCCAAAGACAAGGUUCUAAUAUUACUUAAUUACCCCAAGACAUCCUCAGAUGUAAUUGAGCUUGGAAGGCUAAAUGAAGGCUGCAUGUGUGAUAUUGCCUGAUGCAUUCAUAAUGCCACCACUUUGCGAGACAAACUGAGCCUCUGGCAAGUGGGUGGGGGAGGGAAGCAAGAAAUGCCUGAGGAAAAAAAUCUUUCCAACGGUCUGCUUUCUUUGAAAAAUAUAUCCUGCUUAUACUUCCACUUUGGUAAACUGGGAAAUUUGAGGACCCAGCCUUCCCCAACACUGGGCCGAGCAGCCCCAACCAACCUCAUGACUGAUCAGAAAUGAUGGGAGUUCUAGUCCAUAACAUCUGGAAGGCAUUAGGUUUUCCUGCUUGGUGGUUUGCUGGAUUUUUAGUCUAACAAUGGUGGAGGGAAGCAUGCAAUAAUGUGCAGGAAUUAAAAGCAGCCAUUUUUACUCAGGAAAAUAACCCUGGGGUUCUUGACAAAAGAACCAAACCAAAGGGCAGCACAAAUGCCACAGGAGUAAAAUUAUGCAGAUUGCAGCAAAAUUACGCCUAAGGAGUCUGGACCAGGAAAGAGAGCUGGGGUGGCUGACGGAGUGUGGAAAACAUUGGUGAAUUCCAUGUUAGAGAUCAUUAGGGAAGGGACUGAAACAAAAAUUGUCAAUACCAUGCUGUUAUUAUACAAAUCUCUAGUGUGACCAUGCUUGUGAUCCUGAGCAAAGUUCUGGUCAGUUCACCUCAACAAAGGGUAUCUUAGAAAAGGUGCAUAAAAGGGCAACCAAACUGAAGGAGCAACACACAUGGGAGGAAAGGUUGCAGCGUUUGGGACUUUUUAGUUUAGAAAAAAAUAUGAGUAAGGCGUGACAUGAUAGACGUGUAUAAGAUUGUGCAUUGUGUAGAGAAAGUGGAGAAAGAACAGCUUCUCUCCCACUCUCAUAAUAUAACUCAGGGACCUCCAAUGAAGCUGACUGCAUGAGGAGAGAGUGCUGUUGUACUUCUUGCAGACUUCCCACAGGGAUCUGGUUGGCCACUGUGAGAAUGGACUGCUGAGUUAGUUGGGCCUUUGGUUCAAUCCAGCAGCGCUCUCUUAUGUCCUUACAGAUACAGGAUAUCAGCAGUGUGGAACCUCCAGGCCACAGGCCUAACUAGACCCACCAGGGCCCUUGACAUAUGAGGCCAUUUCUGCCAAACCCACCUACACCUGACAUCAUAUAAGGUAUCAGGUAUAGGGCAGGUAAAUUUGAGCGCGGUUGAGAGGAAAGGAAGUUUGCAGGUACACCAAUGAGUUGAUCGACAGCACCUGCAAAGUGCUGUCCACUGGGCUUCCCAAGCCCCAAUGAUCAGGUGAUCACCUGCAUUUUGCAGGCUGUGCUUUAGCCUGUUUGAUUUCAAAUGCCAUUGUAUUGUCAGGUGGGUACCACUGCCCACCUGUUAAACUUGGGACAUAGGUCUGGGGAGGAACAACAACCUGGCCUCAUAUUGUUCCUCAGGUCUAGUCCCUCCUCCUGCAGUGUAUAGACAACAGCAUUUUGUUUUGGCAUCAGCUGUCAGGUUGUCAGUAGCUUAAUAAAUGAGCUUAAUGAUGCCCAAGAAGGAAGGCAUAAGGCAGCUGUCUGACUAAGGUCUUCCAUGGACAAUAUAAUCUUAAAGCUAUUGCCAUGACAAUCAGUAGCCUCAAUGAGGGGUCUUGGUACUGACUCCAAUGUUUACAUCAACAGCUGUUAUCCUGAGAUACGUCCCAAGAACAGCUGGUGUGUGAUGCAGCACUUUUUGGCUUAGAACCUCCAGGUUCUGUUACAGGGAAGCCAUUAAAGGAGUGUUGACUUCCUUCCAACAUCUGUGCAGACAUCACAAAGAACCUUGCCUGGCAAACAUAUGCUCCUUGAAAUGUCAGGAUGGGGUACAUCUCUUCGCAAGUAGCGUUUUGACCAGGGAGUUGGUUUCAUAACUCCAAUGUUGAAUGGCUCCAUUCAUGAAUCAGUUCCCUUGCCUGCUGCAUGAGCAGCAGAUCGUAGUGCCUGUCCAUGAACAGACAUGCUCAAAGUACAAUGGGAACUGUGACAAGCCUACGGUCGGGGCCCUUGCAAGUAGAUCAGCUACAGGUGCUGCAGCCUGCCAUGUCAUGACCCUGGAGUGGCCAGGACACUGAGUCAGAGGCGCCACCUGAGGAGCUGGAUGGAGUUUCUGGCUUUGAGACUGAUGCUGCUGAUCAGGGGCAUGGUGGAACUGAGGCUGGUAAGCAGGAGAAAGCCAGACCAGAUCCCACGAUACCAGAUCCCAUAGAACCAGAACUGGGAUCCUCAUUGCCACCUUCCUCAGGGCCCAAAGAACUGAGUGCUCCUCACACUGUCUUGCUAGCCCAACAGCAUCAGGUGGGAGGCUAUGGAGUGUAGGAGAGCUGUUCUUCUGCCUGGAGAGUUGACCCUUUAUAAGGCUCUAGUUCCAUAACAAAGUGGCAGAGCAAAGGAGGGGUAGGCUGGAGGCAAGGGACUCAAAAUUUAUCUCUGUCUGCUUCCAACCCCACUGGAGAAAGUUGCUGACUAGGAGCUCUCCUUGGUGCUGUGGGUUCUGCCACAGAACCAGAAAAAGAUGUCUCAUGUCAAGGGGCAAUUUUGGCUUCUCUAUCAGUUUUGGCUUCUCAGUUUCCCAGUCUUAAAUUCCAUUUCCCAAAUUUACAUAUCAGUUUGCUAACAACAGCAACAACAACAACUCCAGAAGAUUCCUCAGACUUUCAGUUCACUUUUCUCUUAAUAUACACAGUUGCAUAUUCAGUUUUGUCUCAUAUAAACAUUUUUGCAAGCAACGUUCCCUAACAUAAUACUGUUUUGCAUGUUAUUUUCAGUAGUAGAUGGGGUUUUAUGCACACACACCUUUUUGCACACAUUCGGGGGAUUGGUGAACUGCAUUGCAAUAUUCAGAGAAGUGUAAAUUUCAAAGGAUAGCAAUGUUUCUGUGUAUGCAAUGUUUCAAGAAAUGAAAAUUAGGUAGUCAAACCAAAAUCCUCCCUACUCCCAAAUAAGCACUCCCAAGUUAUACUUCACACAGUAGGCUGGAAUGGUUCCUUGCAAGUAGUUCCAGGCCAGGUCUGCUGGCAGUGGACUGAUGUGCUCAAAAUAGCAUCCAUGUGUUUCAUCAGCCUCCCUAAUCUUAUAAUGCAGGCGUAUCUAACAUGGCACCUUCUAGAUAUUGUCAGACCAACAUGAUCAUUGGCCAGAACAGCAGAAGCAGCUGGAAAGAGAGGAGAGGAGUUCAGGGAUGGUUUUUAAAAAUAAUUUAAUAAGUUGCUUUUCUCCAUUUGAUCCUUUUACUUGGUUUUGUAUGCAUUGUGGUCAUUUAUGCAAUGUGGUUUGCUGUUAUUUUUAUUGAUUAUAGUUUAGUAAUUAUUCAUUGUGAUUACUGAGACUGAAUUUCUGUUUCAUUAUUAUCCGCUGAUAUUUAAUUGUAUUGUGUACUAUUGUAUUCUAAUGGAUGGUUGAAUAUUACUUUAUUUGACAAAUGCUGUUUAUUUUAAUGUUAUGUUUUUAUUAUGGCUUUCUGUGUUGGAUCAGAUUGUUAUUAUGUUUGUUGUUUCUUCAGCUUGUAAACUGCCUUGUGCAUAGCAAUAUAGAAAGGCGGUAUACAAAUUAGAAGUGAAAGGAAAAAUGAAAGAAAGAUGAUGGAGUUCAAUAACUUCUAGAGGGCAUCAGUUUGGCCACCUCUGCCCUGAUGUUUCCACCAACUUUCCCAGGUUCUUUCUCUGCUCCUCCAGGAACACUUAUUCCUAUGCAACAAAAAUAGGAACCCCAGAAGAAAUGGGAAGCAGAAGUGUAAAAAUAAUGGAAUGGACAAAAUUCCUUUCUGGCAUAAGAAAUAAGAGAGACAGCUCAUCUGAAUUCUGAGUUAGCGUUCUCUACAUUUCACAAAAGAAGGACCAGUAGGGUCCAAAAUAUGCAAGACUUUAUUGUCUACCCUCUUGGUUAGUUGGUUUUUUUUACUUCCACUUCCAGAAGCUACUGUUGGGGAGAAGGGCUCACAACCUGGUGGUGUCACAACAAGGGUACGUGUGCUUAAAGCUUAUGGGGAGAGAGGGAGGCCAUUUUCACACGUCAAGCACCGCUCUAACACAAAGAAGAAUGUGGAGACAUACUGAGACCAGAAAGGCCAGCUUGCUGCUUUUUUCUCCUUUUUUAAUUGUCUUGGAAAGUGCAGCAUUAUGGAGCAUGCUGGUGCAGACACUAUUCAGAACGCCAGAAGACAAAAGCCAACUCACAUGGUUGCCCAAGCCUACAUUUACAUACUGUGCAGAAGGAGAUGUUAAAAUCCAAAUGGCCUGUAAUAAUUAACUCUCAUUUAAACAUUAUGCUGUUUAACCAUCACUUGCAAUUCUACUCCGCCUGGAAGGGGGCUGGAUUGUUGGGAUUUUUUUUAAAAAAAAUUAUUUUAAGCAUAGUAAUAAUGGAGCCUACUGGUUCUAUAUUGUAUAAUCUUGGUUGUCUCGGGACCAGCCCUUCCAUGAAUGCGGCAUGUUUUGGGGCCUGCUGGAAUGAGAACAUUUAAUGUCUGCUAAUUGUUUCACUUCUAAUAAUUGCUGUGAACAGUCACCACAGGAGAGAAACGGGUUUUUUUUGAAGACAUAAUAGUAGAGAGGGGGAGAGAGAGAGAGCCUGCCUCUGGCACAGACAUAUUAACUGAAUACUGUUCUGUUCAUGCUGUUUAAGCACCACAAUGGGUGACAAAUAGCUAUUAACAUAUAGUUCCUUGUCACUGGAGAAACGAGCACUUUUGGAGGCCAAGGCUGCCUUAGGUGUGAGCAAAAUGCAUUAUUUAUCACCAAUUAAUCUUCCUUUUUUUCUUUGUUCACUAGCCUCGUAGACGCAAGAGGGAGGUGGGUGGCAUGAUAUUGCCCUAGACACCCCCAGGAACGUGAGAUGGAGAUGAGGAGACUCUCAGGACCACAGUCGUCAUCCUCACAGAAUUAAAUGCGAUGGCCAGGGAGAGGGUUCCUUGCCACAGUUGUUACAUAUACACCUGUCCUGUAACAAGAGACAUUAUACACUGUGGUGGUAGAUUUAGAGGGGAACCAGAAUUCCUCAGGAAACAUGGAAAUUUGAUAUUUUUCUUUUCUCACCUCCCUGCUGGUAUCUUGCUGAAAUGAAGGUGGCACAGUUACCCAGAAGCCCUUGGGCUUUGGGCCAGCGGCUGAAGUCAAGCUGUCCUUCCUUUCACCUCUAUUUCUGCAGAGCUGAAGUGGAAUUGCUUCUGGGAGGGGACUCAAUAUAAUAGCCCUGCACCCCCGGACGUGUUUUGGACCGCCUCAUUCCUCAUAUCUGCAGUGUGACAAUAAAAGAAUCCAAUAUAGUCAAGAACACACGCUCUGUUUGAAAACGCCUCCGGUUUGCUUGGUAUCCCUCAGUUGACAACAUACAUGCCCCGCAUGCAAAAACAGCCUCAGAGACGUUCAAAAUUGGGAGGGGGGAGGUUUUUAUUGUGAAAAUGCCUUAAGGGAGAAUGUCCUCCAACAAUGAUUCCAACUCUUGCCGUUGGUAAGCCAACCGCAUUGAUCUUCCUACCGUCUGCCAAGACUCCAUGACUAAUGAAGAAGAGAAACAUACCACCAGUGCUGAAAGGUGACUGUGGAUGGGAGCCCUGAGGCAUAACAAAAGCAGAUGGCUUCCUUGGCAAGGGCUUGCUCUUGUCCUCAGCACAGGGAUGAGUGGAUCAAAAGGAAGGCUGUGUGUGCAUGUGUGAAAUAACAGCUACAGAAGUUCACAGCAAGUUUUGUAAUCCGAAGGAAGGAGGAAGGGAGGGAGGGGGAAAGAUGGCAGCCUCAUUUCCCUGCUCUGCAUGAAAAUUUGUGCUUGGUCACAGAAUCAUUGAGUUGGAACGGACCACAAGGGUCAUUUAUUCCAACCCUGUGCAAUGCAGGAAUCUCUCGCCAAAUGUGGGGCUCAAACCCACAACCCUGAGAUUAAGAGUCUUAUAUUCUACCAACUAAGCUUCGCUAAUUUAGAAGGGUUUGCAGAAUACUUUUUGUUCGCUUGUCAUUUGCCAAAAUCUUGGGUAAGCAAAAUCGCAGAACUUUCGGGCAGUCAUGGGUUCCUUUAAAGAUGGGGGUGGCUGGGGUUAUUUGUUCUUAUUUCCCCCUCACAAGAAAUGGAGAACCUAUCUGAGCAGAAUUGCAACUUGCAUACUUCCUCUUUGAAUUAUUGGAAUGCUGCUGGAGACAGAUUGAAAGCUGCACCUAGCGCAGAAUGCAGCAGCGAGGCAGUGACUGCCAAUUCACCACUGAGCUCAGUUUAAGGAUGUUGAGCUCAUUGAUCUAUAAAGCCCUAAGUGACUUGGGCACCAAAUAUUUGAAGGAGUGCUUCCUCCCACAUUAACCUGCCUGGGUAUUAAAUUGGCAAAGGAGGCCCUGUUGGGAGUGUCUCCACUCUCUAUGGUUUGAGGGGCAGAGGAGUGUGAAAAGGCCUUCUUUGUGGUGGCCUCCAGGUUGUGGAUGUGGAAUGAGGUGCAUCUUGCACCAUCCCUGUAUGUUUUUAUUAUUUUUAUUAUUAUUAUUAUUAUUAUUGAUCAAGGCAAACCUCUUUAUUUGCUGUUUUGUGCUAAAGGACCCCGAGGGUUAAGUCCAGUCGCAGACAACUCUGGGAUUGCAGCGCUCAUCUCGCUUUGCAGGCCGAGGCAGCUGGUGUUUGUUCACAGACAGUUUUCCCGGGUCAUGUGGCUAGCAUGACUAAGCCGCUUCUGGCACAACAGAACACUGAAACCAGAACAGCGCACGGAAAUGCCAUUUAUCUUCCCACCGGAGCGGUACCUAUUUAUCUACUUGCACUUUUGGCGUGCUUUCAAACUGCUAGGUUGACAGGAGCUGGGAUGGAGCAACGGCAGCUCACCCCGUUGCAGGGAUUUGAAUCGCCAACCUUCUGAUUGGCAAGCCCAAGAGGCUCAGUGGUUUAGACCACAGCACCACCCUCUUUGGUUGUUCUGUGGUGUUAUUUUAUUAUUCUGGUGAAACUUGCACUUGUUCUUAAUUGUGGUAUUUUUGUAGCUCACCCUCUGGGACCAUUUGAUGAAGGGUGGGUCAGAAGUUCACACAGGAAAUAAAUAUGGAUGGAUGGAUGGAUGGAUGGAUGGAUGACAGGACUCUUGCAUAUGAGAGCCUUGCCAAGAACCCCACAAAGGAACAAACAAAACAUUGCACAGAGAAGCCUGUGCUUGUACUUUUCUUCCUAAAGACUUGCCAUGCCAACAGCUUUCCUGAAAUGUGCAUACUAAAUAGGAUGUUCCCAGCAAGGCCGGCUUCGCUUCUCGUCUGAAAGCAACGAUGAGUGGAGACGUCACAAGGCAAUGAUGCUGGAGAGACCAUUGCUUUCCUUCUGCCGGGUGGACCAUGCCGAAACACCUGUCUCUGCUCUUGAAGUCAUUUGUAUCUGUCUCUGAAGAAGGACAGGCAACAGCAACACAAAAGCAGCACAAAAUUAAGUUAAUUCCGGUAUUUAUCUGUUGAGAAGGAGAAUUAAAUGGAAGUAUAAAUAUCUAACCAGCUUUGCUUGUUUUCCAUUAAAGAAUGAAAGAUUUGCCAUAGACCUUUGAUUAUUAUGCAUUUUUAUAGGCUUCACCUUUUUCCCUGAUGGGACUCAAGGUUGCUUACAGAUAAUGGAAAACGAGCGAGGUCCCAGCUAAAAAAGAGUGGCAACUUAAGUUGACAGAAUAUGCACAGCUUGCAGACUUAACAUAUAGAAGAAGAGAACAAGAAGAACAUGUGUUUAGAGAAGAUUGGAAAACAUUUAUUGAAUAUAUGGGAAAUAACUGUGUACAGCUGAAAAGGCUGGCAGCAUUAAAAUAUACUGAACAGUGUAUAUAAGUUAUGAUGGAUGUAACAAUGGAAUACUGAAUGGUAUCGUUUAUGUAAAAUAUGCGGGGAUUUAUGAUAUGAAAAAUGAACCAUGGAAAGAGAAGAAGGGAAGUCACUGAUAUCUUAAGGAUGUAUAAAUGAGUACUUUCAAAUGUAAAACAGAAAAUUUAAUUUUAUAGACAUAUACAGACAGAGAGAGAAAAAUAAGAACCUCAACAAUCAUUUAAAAACUGUUAAAUAUGGAUUUAAUUAAAAAUGUUUACAUAUAUAAAAUCUACUAAAACCAUAGCAAUAAUCACAACAAAAACAGCAUGGGAAAAGCCCUUUCGUUGAAAGCGGUCGGUUCCAAAAGUCUGCUGGAACAAAGAGGGAGCCAGUCUAGUUUCUCUAGGAAGGGAGUUCCAAAGUCUGGGAGCAGCCACCGAGAAGGCCCUCUUCCACAUCCCUACCAAACAUGCCAAGAGAAGGGCAUCCCCUGAACAUCUCAAAACCUGGGCAGGCUUGCAUGAGGGUAUCUGGUCUUUCAGAGAGUUUGGACCUAAGCCAUGUAGGGCUUAACCAGCACUUUGAUUUGUGCCCAGAAACAGACCAAUAGCCAGUGGAGCUGUUAUAACAAGAGAGUCGUAUGCUCCCUAUAACCAUAAUAGACCAACAACAAAACAAACAAAAAAACCAGAACAGAUACAUGUUUAUUCUUGCAGAUGCUUCUUUGUGGGACAGAAAUGCUCCAGCUGAUGAUAAAGACACAGCUGGAUAACUCUAGGCAAUUCUUAACUGAUGAAGUGUAAACAUCGAUGUUUUCUGUUGAUUCUUACAGGCGUUUCCCCCCUCCUGCAGCCAUACUCCAGCAGAGCUUGAUGAAAAGCAGCUCCCCACACCUUCCUGACAUCUUCCACACUUGCCACCCACCCUCACAGAUAAGGAAGGGUAUGCUCCAAAUGGGUUUUGAAGGUGGAUUGCUACAAGUUCAUGAGAUGGAGAGCGGAAGAGGAAGGCACGUAUUCAUCAAAGAGCACAGAGUAACUCAGCUAGUGCAGAACGGAGAGGCUAUAUUGCAGAUGGGGGCAGAUAGCUAAUAGCACACCACACGUCUGCUAAAACUUAUGCCACAGGGCCAGGUUCAAAGCUCUUGUGAUUAUAUGCAGUAUACCAGUAUGUAAUGGUAUUCUUGUAAUCAGUAGAGAACAACCUAUUUCAGGAAGCAUACAAAUAUUCACUGUGUAAAACAGUUAAUUUUUGCGUUUCUCAAGCCAUAGACCUCCUUGGGAGAACAGAGGAUGUAGCGUUUUACAAAAUAAAUCUUUGCUGUGCACCUCUUGAAACGUGUUGUUCUUCACUGUUCUAGGGUGCUACUUGUUCUUGGCUGCAAAUAUUUUCUCCAUGAGAAUUGGUUUGUUUUCUCAAUGUAUCGUGUUGACAUUGUCCAGAUAAGGGAUUUUGGAGCAGGGUGUUUCGAAGAAAAAGAGAUAAAGAAAAGAAAUAAUUUCAGAGAGAUUGAAAGUAAAUGCAACUUCAUAUUCCUGCAUGGCAGGGGGUUGAACCAGACUGCCCUCAUGAUCCCUUCCAGCUCUGUGAUUCUACAGGGAUUGCUUGACAGCACCCAGGGGGGAAAAAUAAAGCAAGAGAAUGAUUGGGAACCUUGGGGCAUCAAAAACACAUUUUUUUGGAUCACAAAACUGGGUAUGGCCCAAAAUAGAUCACAUUCUGUGCCACACCAGAGGGACGGUGUUUGAUGUAGCAAAGAGGAGACAAGCAGACAAGCAGUGGACAUGCAGUGGGCUGCAGGACCAUGACUUGUGUCUGUUGCAUGUUUGGAUAAGUGUUAUCUUUUCUUCACGCUUCAUUUUUCUACUUAUGCAAAAAUCAGACAGUAGGUGAAAUGGCUCUGGGAUUGUGGCACUUCUAGUUAACACGCUGCAUUGCUAAUUGAGUAGCCAACUCCAGGCAAUGGGCUUUGUGGAAGAUGUUUUGGCUUAACACCAGCGGUUCCAGUGGUACAUUCAAGCAAAAUCUCUUUGCAGCCACGGAAUAGUUCACAUGGCACAGCCAAACAAGGCCAUGAAAUCCAAGUCCUGGGAAAUUAUACCAGAGUUUGCAAGACAAGUGAGCUGCAAUAAUAUAUAGCAGGUGCCUUCAUAAAAAAGUUAGGUCCACAGGGACAAUUCAUACUUGCUACUUCUUCCCUGUCCAUGUCAGACUUUGGGUAAAUGCCAUCAUGUGCUUUAAAGUGAGCCUGAAUUUAACACACUCCGAACUGCAAAGAGGCUGAGUUGGUAUUGAGCAAAUAUCAUUGCAUAUCCCAGCAUGCUUGGGCUGUUUUCUUUUGGCCCUCAAAGCAGCAGCACGGCAGACAGCAUUUAACCUUCUAAGAUAGUUGGUUUUUAAGGGGGGGUACCUCACACAGAUCUUAGCAAAAGCUCAUAUUCAUAACCUUUUUAAAAAAGCACCAUAUAUCUUCAUUUCAAUCCCCACUCCUCACAUUUCAAGUAAGCAGCAAUCCCUACCCUACAAGAGUAAACCUGAAUUUUGACUUGCCUCGUAUUAAAUACCACACAUGGCUUGUUAGAUUUGCUGAAGCCAUUGCUUUUCAGCAGGCGCUGUUUCCUCGCUGUUUAGAGCUUCACUUCCAGAUUGUUUCUUUGAAAGAGUGGAUGUUGCAAAAGAACUGCAAAUCAUCCUUCGGUUGGUCUGACAUGAAGUCUCAUGCUGUCCCUAUUUGUGGACACAUUUCCUCCUCUUCCCUAUCAAGGCUUUAUUUUUAUUUUAUUUUAUUUUUUAAAAUGCCAUGGUGAAUAUGUGUCAUGGGAUCCACCCACCCGUGAUUUCAUCUGCUCAUUUCUUUCAGGCUGCUCCAGCAACUUCAUGACUGUAUUUCAAGCUUUGUCGCUCUGUGGAGGCAGCUGCACAAAUUGAGUGCUUAAGGAAAUACAAACCAUGUCCAAAAUAGACAUUAAUAGAAAAGGUGAGGAGAUUCGUACAAUCGUAUCUUGGAUCCUGAAUGCCUUGGUACUUGGACGUUUUGGCUCCCCAACGCCGCAAACCCGGAAGUGAGUGUUUCAGUUUGUGAACAUUCUUUGGAACCCGAACGUCCGACGGGGCUUCCGCUGCUUCUGAUUUGCUGCAGGAGCUUCUUGCAGCCAAUCAGAAGCUGUGUUUUGGUUUCUGAACAUUUUGGAAGUCGAACGGACUUCCGGAAAGGAUUCCGUUCGACUUCCAAGGUACGACUGUACAGGAGAAAUACAACAUAGCCAUGUUUAGAUUGUGGAAAGGGCUUCUGUCAGAGCAGACACCUCACUUCCCACCAAAGAAUUCAUACGGGGGGGAACUGUUUCAGUGUUUGGAGUAUGGAAAGAGCUUCUGCUGUGAUGGUACUUACACUUCCCAUCAAGGAAUUCAUGAUAGAAUGAAACUAUUAAAUCCCAAUUCCGUCUUCUGCGGCAUUAACUACUCCUCCUAACUACUUGGUGUCAUCUGCAGAUUUGACAAGCAUCCCCUCAGUUCCGUCAUCCAAGUCAUAUAUAAAAAUGUUUAACAACAAUAGGCCCAGGACAAAACCCCACCACAUUGGACAGAUCAGUCAGUAGAGCAUGAGACUCUUGAUCUCAGGGUUGUGGGUUCGAUCCCCACAUUGGGCAAAAGAUUCCUGCACUGCAGAGGGUUGGACUAGAUAACCCUUGUGGUCCCUUCCAAUUCUACAUGUUAGAUUACUGUUAUGCCCAUAUUGCAGAGUAAUAGUGGGUGGGCACUGAGAAGCAGCUUACCUACAUAGCCGAGCAGAGAUUUGAAGCAGAAACAUUCUUCAUGUAUUAACUGCUAACUAAUUUUUGCAGAUUGCUUCUCAACCAGACUUGAGCAGCAAAACAAAACAGGAGCAAACGAAGCGCAAGUAAAUGAGCCUUGACAUCAUUCUCUUAUUGCCCGUUCCUUGCUGCUUCGGAGGGCCAGCUGUCCCCUUCUUCCACCUCUUUUCUGGCACACUCUUCCCUUUGACUUCAUCAAAGGUCCCCAUGACAUAUGUGUCACUGGCCUCGAUCAAAGUUGUACCUAUAGAUGCAGCCCCAGCAUGGAGCCGAAAGCAAAGAUGGACCAGAUGGUCUGGAUAUGCCUGGGCUGGAGGAAUUACUCAUCCAGAAAUGAACUUUAAUUGAAAAAGUGCUUAAUGCUGGUAUGAAGAAGCCUAGCAUAAUCCAGGGGAACUCAAAGGGGCACUGCGUGCUCUGUUUCAGCACACCAGAGAGAGAGAGAGAGAGAGAGAGAGAUUCUCUUUUUAUUUACAUUAUCUAGAUUGUCACAACAGCCAUGAAGAUGGUUUCUGGAACUCCUCCAACACCUGGAGAAGUGAUGAAAUAAAAAAAGCAACAAGGGUUUUGCUUCAUUAUUCCUUCCAGUAAGGGUUAAGAAGAAAAGACCCAUCUUAUCUGAUAGAUCCUUUUCCAUCUAAUUGAAUUGUCCCCACAUCUCGUUAAGGUAUGAAAUGCAUCUUCACCCUGAGCCUAAUCUCCAUUAGACAUUCUGUCAACAGUGUGGAAGAAAGAAUACACAGCGUGCCAGAGGUAGACAGUCCUGGCACCCCUAGAGGAGACCGAGACUUACCUUUGGCUCCACAGGUCACAUUUAAGGUUUUUUGGCAGACGUGCAGAGCAAUCCGAAAUUGCUGGGGGUCGGAGAGUCUGUGGCGGAGGACCUGCCAAUUCCUCAAUGCUGCUGGCUUACGCUGCCCAAGGUGGAAGGAGAGCUGGAUUCUCUCUUCAAUAUUUUCCCCAUUCAGCCUUUCCACUUCCUCCAUUUACACUAAAGGAAGAUGAAAUAACUACUUCAGCAUUGCUUCGAUUUUCCUAAAGAAAAUUUAGAAAGCCGGUGCGGUGUAGUGGUUAGAGCAGACUUCCUCAACCUCGGCCCUCCAGAUGUUUUUGGCCUACAACUCCCAUGAUCCCUAGCUAGCAGGGCCAGUGGUCAGGGAUGAUGGAAAUUGUAGUCUCAAAACAUCUGGAGAGCCGAGUUUGAGGAAGCCUGGGUUAGAGUUUCAGGCUAGGACCUGGGAGACCAGGGUCAAAAUCCCUACUCAGCAAUGAAGCUCACUGGGUGACCUUGGGCCUUUCCCUGCCUCUCAGCCUAACCUACCUCACAGGGUUGUUGUGGGGGUUCAAAGAGGAAACACGCACACCACUUUGAGUCCUUGGAGGAAAAGGUGGGGUACAAAUGCAAUUAAAAAAAACAAUUUAGGAUGAAACAAUUGAGAUUUGAAGCAGUUGUGUGAGAUAGUCACACAUGGGUUCUUUGCAAGAUUUUAUUUUUUUAUCACAAUACAUUGCACUGACACAGCUUUAGAGUGAUUUAUUUUAUUUUGCCUUCUGCCCUUAGUUCUCAGCUGGCAAACCUGGCAUUACUUAAAGCCAAGCCACUUAAUGGAAGGCAAAAAUGGGCAGACAGCUAUAGCAUCAAAUACUCUCUGCUUAUGGGCAUUUUAUCAGCACCUUGCCACUCCUUGCAAAGAAAGGGGGGAAGGGGGAGGCAGAUUUCUUUUUUCAGUGGAACCGGUGAUAAGAAUUUGCGUGAAUUAGGACAGCAAUUUGCUGCUUUUGCAAAUUAGUUGGUUUGCCCGAUUUCAGUCUGAACUGGCAGAAAGAAAUGACUUGAGAGAUGCCUACAAAAACCAAGCCUACACCCUGGCCCAUCUUACCUUUCUUCUAAACAAAUGUGUGCUUUUUAAAACACUUUUUUUAUUUUAAGUCUCCCCCCACAGUAGUGGAACAUCUUAUUAUGCACAUAUCUUGUCCUUUAUGUGGCAGCAAGUGAUGGAGGCGAGAGGAGGGCCAAUGGGCUGUAAUUGCUCUAAAGGUAGUGAUUUUGAUAUCUUUUAUUAUCAGGGUGCCCAGACGUAAAAUGAAUCUCUGUAAUAUUUAUAAUGUGUCAUUUCUUAUAAUAAGUAGUCUGAUGUGACAAAUGGAGACAGAGUCAAAGGUGUCAAUUAAGGGGGAAAUGUCACAUUGUACUCCCCCCCCCCCCCCGCAUUGCAGAUGCUGCCUUCUAGCUACCAGGCGCAUGGAAAAGAAAGGUUCUUUGCCAUAUUUUAACCUAUUCCUCCUAAGGAGACGGUGACGUCAAUCCACCCACUCUUUUAAGUUACAGUGCCACGUUUACCUUCAGUGGGACUUACCUAUGCUUCAGUGACUGAGGUGCUGCAAAGGAAAGUUUGGUAAAAAGUAUGGAACAGGGUUUUGCAAUCCUCCUCCCGGUGGCACAACGGGUCGGUGCGCCUUGCUGUUAACCAAAAGGCUGGUGAUUCAAGCCCACCCAGGGAUGGCUAUGGGCAGGAUUCAUGCACUGCCCAGGGAUUGGACUAGAUGCCCCUUGAGUUCCCUUCCAACUCACCAUUUCCAUGAUCCUAAGCAAAGAGCUGUUAAGAAUAGCCCUACGCUGAUGACCACUCAGUGACUUCUCCAGGAAUAAGAAGAGCCCUGAUGGAUGAGCCCAUAGGUGUGUCUAGUUCAGCAUCCCGUUUCCCACAAUGGCCAAUCAGAUGCCUUUGGGGAAGGCAUCCUAUCUCCAAUCCAAAGUGGGGAGUGUGCUGUUAUGCUUAGGUCCUGCUUGUAGGUUCUUCAAAGGCAUCUGGCUGGCCAAUGAAAGAACAGGACACUGAUCUAGAUGGGCCAUUUGCUUGAUGAUGAUGAUCAUAAAAAUUAUCAUUUAUACUCUGCCCAUCUGGCUGGGUGGCUCCCAACAGAAUAUUAAAAACAUGAUAAAACAUCAGACAUUAAAAACUUCCCUAAACAGGGUUGCCUUCAGAUGUCUUCUAAAAGUCAGAUAGUUGUUUAUUUCCCUGAUGGGAGGGCAAUCCACAGGGCAGGUGCCACUACCUAGAAGGCCCUCUGCCUGGUUCCCUGUAACCUCACUUCUCUCAGUGAGGGAACCGCCAGAAUGCCCUCGGAGCUGGACCUCAGUGUCCAGACUGAACGAUGGGGGCGGAGAUGCUCCUUCAGGUAUACUGGGCUGUAUAAUGGGCCAUUUAGGGCUUUAAAGUUCAGCACCAACAUUUUGAAUUGUGCUCAGAAAUGCACUGGGAGCCAAUGUAGGUCUUUCAGGACCAGUGUUAUAUGGUCUCAGCUCUUCUUAAGGUCUUAUGGUCUUGAUCCUGGAGACUGUGGGUGUGUGUAUUGGCAGGAGAGGUAAACAACCAGUUCCUGAUUCCAUUCUACCAAGCAGUAACCUGCCAGGUUUCUAAUUCACACAAUCAUUUGUUAUGAGAGGUGAGUUGCCCAUUACCAGACCAUGAUGCAAUUUUGGAGGGAGCAAAAAGUGAUAAGGCUACUAGCAACCAUCUAGGUUUUAACUGAAAUUACACAGCAGACAUUUUGUCUAAGAAAUUUGUUGACGCUCUGUGAAAUGUCCCCCAGGUAUUCUCCCUCAUUCUCACCCCUACCAUGCAUGUGUACACACACAUGAACAUGCAGUAUCCAAGAAUUAGACCCAGGGCAUUGGAGGAGACAAAAUGGGGCCAGGAUGCCAACUCAGAUGUUGCUACUGUGAUGGAGGUGGGGUGGAGAAGUGAAGCCUUUGCCACAGCUAAUGGUGAGAAACUUGAAUUUCUCCUUACCCUGGAGAAAUUUAGUGGAAUGGUCCUCCCAGUUUCUCUACCCACCUACAUUUUGUGCAACAGUCUCUCUCUCUCUCUCUCUCUCUCUGUCUCUCUCUCUCUCUGUCUCUCUCUCUCUCUCUCUCUCUCUCUCUCUCUCUCUCUCACACACACACACACACACACACAGAGUAGAUUUCAAGAGCAGGAAAGCCAGUUGCAGAUCCCUAGUGCAUGCUGAAUUCCUCUGCUUGCUCAGAGCUUCUUCAGAUCCAUACAUUUGUAUUAAAUGGUCUGUUAGAGAUUUGCUGGCACUUUUCAAGCUCUGACAGUCCUGUUUUUAUUUCAAUUGCCUUUAAGCCAAUUCAUGAGAUUUUCAUAUAUAAAUAUGGAAAUAUGCAAAGUCCUCAGAUUUAUAGGAUCUGACAUUGUGGUUUAAACGAAUCCCAAAUGAUCUGGUCUCUUCCUUACAUAUUCAUUCCAUUCCCCUCCGUGACACGGUCCCAUUCUUCACUCAAUAGCAACCCCUGCUGGUGCUCCAGAAACAGAGCUUGUCCCUCGAACGUUGCCUCUCCUCUAUUUGCCAUCCAUCAUUUAAUUCACUUGAGAAUUUGCUUAUCUUCCAAAUGAGUCUGCUGAUGGCAUGCUGGGUUUGACCUAAUAUUAUUGCUGAAGAAAUGUCAACUCUGGAACAAACAAACCUGUGGAGAAUUUUACAUAUGUUAAUGAAAUUUGUCAUUUAAUUCUCCCUCUCUCCUUCUUCCUCUUGUUCUUCAUGUCAGUCCCAUGCUGCUAUCUAUAUAUGUAGCUAUCUACCUAGCUUCGUACCCACCUAUAUAUCUCAUAUUUUUUAUCACUCUGUUUCUCCAAGGACCUGGUUGCUUCAUGCAUGUGAUCAUCCCAUUUCAUCCUACUACAGCUCUGAGAUAGAUUGUUCUCCUCCAAGGAGGUUCAUGGCAGAACAUUAGAGGGGUUCCUGUCCACGACCAAAGGCAGAUGGUGUCAUGAGGAAGGAACAUCUUCAUUCGGGAAGAGCUGAAAUGAAGCACCUGUUCCUUAGAGUACACAAACUGAUCUCAGUCAGCCCAUGUGCUCUAGCCAAUCCAAGUUAUGCACACUAUCCAUACACAUGAUGGGGUAGAAUCGCAGGAAAACGCAGCCAUGUCAAUGCCAUUUCCUUGUCACACAAGCAGCUCUGCUAUGUUAUAAGUGUGGGACAUGUGUUUUGGCAGGCAUAUAUUUAGAUCGGCCUUCCUCAACAUGGUGCCUUCCAGAUGUUGGGCUCCCAACUCACAUCUGCGCAAUCCAGCAUGGUCAGCGAUGGGUUGAUCCCCAGAUGUUCAGCAACAUCUGAAGGACCAAAGGUUUCCCACCUCUGCCCUGAAGCUGCAAACCCCAGAGCACUAAGAGCAGGCUUCCUUAAUCUGGUGCCCUCCAGAUGUUUCGAACUACAGCCCUGCAAUAUGGGAAUUGCAUUCCAAGACAUCUGGGUGGCACCAAGUUGGAGAAGGCAGGAGAAGCAAAUGCAUCUGUCAAACCAAUUCAUGCUCAGCAGCAGGGAUGGGGAAUUAGCAGCUCCCAUCAGCCUCCAGCCAACAUGGUCAACAGAAGAUGGGCGGCCAGCAAUAUCUGGAGGGUACUGAAUUGCAGAAGGCUGGUUUAGAGAAUCUUUGGAGCUGCUUCUGCUGUCAUUGUACUUCCUUGUCCUUCCCAUCCUCCCUUGAGUCACACAAUGUCCUCUUUAAUGAAACCUCUCCUGGAAAAGAAUCGGCAGUGAUGAAAGAGAAGCUGCAGGUGCCAUCAAAGGCAAGGGCAGGCUGACAUUGGUCAAGGACCAGCUUUGCAAAGGAAAGGAGAUUCUUUUCAUCCCACUCUUGGGGGCAAGCAUCCAGUACAGGGAAUUAAGCUGCACAGAGGUGAAUUCUCAGUGACACGACGAACACAUGGCGCUCCUGAAAGCUCUGUUUUGAGAAAGGGUGUGUGUGUCUCUACUGCUUGAAAACCUCAUGCCCAAUAACAGCAACAGCAGAUGAUGCAACACCUCUCCUCUUGGGUCCCCAAGGCUCUUUUUCUCUUGCUGAACUUGCUGCAACCUCAACACACACACACACAGAAUGCCCUUUCUAGUUAGCAAAUGGAGCGUCACAGCUAGGUGGCUGUCACAUUUCCAGAAAUUCAUCCACCAUCUCAAGGAUGCCAAGAAAUGAGCAGGCACCAGUGUGAAGUAUGUGACCAUGCCAGGUCUCCAGAAGAGCAAUGUAUUCAUCUAGAUGUCUGUCAGAGACCCUUUCAACCCAAAGCCCACGUCCUCAUUCUGCCCCUUUCCGCCUCCUACUCUGUACGGUUCAAGCUCAUCAAAUGUGAAGGUGGAGCCUGACUGUCAUCUAGAGGAACAGCGAUGAGGCAGCUUAUCAGCCUAGAGAGCUGUCCCUGGCAGAGCCACGGCAGCUAAACCUAGCGGUGCAGCAAUAAAACUGCUAGCAUGUUUGCAAAGCUAAGCAGGGCCUGGUAUGGUUUCAAAUUGACUGUUGAGAUUCCUGCAUUGCAGCGGGUUGGACUCGAUGACCUUCGGGGUCCCUUCCAACUCUACAAAAAAGGUUUUUAAGGAAAUUCAUCAAAAUCUGGACUUCCAGCAUGGGUUGCCGUACAUCCAGAUUUUCCUAUUGCAGCAAUUUCUGGACGGACACUGUUUCCAAUUGCCGAAUCUUGUCUAUGUCUGGGAAAUUCCGGGUGUACGGCAGCCCUACAAUUCUGUGAUUCCAUACUUUGGCAAAUACCUUGCCCUUUUCUCUUACCACUCAAAUACAGAAAGCUAAUGUUUGAGCUGCACAGAGGCCGCUGGCAACAAGUCACACUCCACACAUGGAUGAGAAGGCUCUCAGUGGGCACUGGCCAUAAUGGCUAAGCUUUGCCUCCACAGUCUGAAGCCCUGGGGAGCUUCUGCCAAUCAGUGUGGACAAUUUUGAGCUUGAUGGAGCGAUGGGUCUGACUGGGUAUCAGGCAGCUUCCUAUGUACAGGGGGGGAAGGCAGUUAACAUGAUAAAGGAGUUGCAGCACCUUCCUUAUGGGGACAGGCUAAUGCUUUGAGGCUUUCAUAGUUCAAGCAGCGAAAGACAACUCAAGAGCUUGUAAAAUUAUGGAUGGUGUGGAGAGCCGCAUUUUUCUUUGGGAAGACACAAAGCUCCCAUUAAUUAUAUUUAUAAGAGUAAAACUCAUACAGAUAAGGAGAAGUGGACCGAAAGUCUUUUGCAUCCUCUGCAUCUCUUAGAAUGCUCCACAAAGUUGAUUUGCGGUAAGUCGGGGAAAGAAAGACAAAAUGAAAGGACUUUUUAACACAGAGACACACACACGGCACAAACACCAGCCUAUGAACUCCACCGGCAUAAGACAUGGUCGUGGCUGCCGUUGGCUUAGACAGCUUUUGUAAAGGGUUCGAUAAAUUCAUUCAGGAUCGGUCCUGGUGACAUCGACAGCUAUAUGGCAUUCCACGUCGGUGCUAAAACACUGUACUUCUGGACACAAGAUGCAUUCAGUGGAGAGAUGCACUUCCUUUUGUCUGUCCUGAACCUACUGCAAAUUGACUUCACCGAGUUGAUGUGGAUGAUGGAGGAGGCAAGAUACGAUUGGACCACUUGUCCUUAUCUAUUCCUACGGGUUCGGCUCUUAUAAAUAUAAUUGAUGAGCACCUCUCGCCUUACAAAGGAGCAGUUCCCAAGCUGCCCGAUUCCAAACCCCUGGCUCUCCUUUUCCUUUCAAUGGAGCUGCAAAGCCCGUUUCUUGUAACGCACGGCACAUUCCGCAAGAUCAGCCCGCGUGUAGCUGUGUGGUGACCCCCCCUCCACACGCCCUCACCUCCUUCCCCUUUUUCUUCCCACCUUUUAUGCAGUGCCUUCUUCCACUUUAUUCCUCAACAUGAAUCAUCCUAUUAUUAACUUGUGACACCAUUAGCUUCUGCUGUCACCAGAGCUGACAGUUCAAAGGCCCCCGAGAGCUCUCUGCAAAGGCACAAUAAAUGAGAUCUCUUAAUUAACACCUCCUUUAACUAAAUAAAUUAAUUUUAUGCAACUGAUAUGUCAUCUUCUCCAUUUGAGGGUGACUGAAUAUCCUGUCUGGCUUCAGGUUCCUCCGCCUUGGCUAGCAUCGCCAUCUCUUGCUAAGUCUGCAGGUGGGGGGAGCGUUGCUUGGCAAGCUUCUGAUAACAUAGGACUGAUGUGCUGAAUUGAUCUGCCCGAUGGCAGCAGCUCCCCUAGCCCCAGCUCCCGGGUGCUAAAUAUGAGUUUGUGCAAAUCAUCUGCAAUGAGUGGAGGCUGCUAUUUUCCUCUCUCCCCCGGCUGCAUGUCAAUUACAGGGGCUGAGCAAUGUGUGGCUGAAUUACUCAUGGCAAACCACUCCGAAAGCCUGCUUGGCACAAACUGGGAGCCACUCUGAAAAGCAGGGGAAAGGCAAUCUGUAUCAAUGGCCCCAUAAGCAAGAGGCGCACUGCACUGGCUACCGAUUAGUUUCCGGGCCCAAUUCAAAGUGCUGGUUUAACCCAUAAAGCCUUAAACUGCUCAGGACUGCCUCUUUCCAUAUGAACCUGCCCAGACCCUGAGAUCAUUUUCUGAGGCCCUCCUUCGUGUGCUUCCUCCUCGAGAGGUCCGAAGAGUGGCAACAUGAGAACGGGCCUUCUCUGCAGUGGUUGCCUGUCUGUAGAAAGCUCACCCCAGGGAAACUCGCCAAGCGCCUUCAUUAUACACCUUUAGGCACCAGGCAAAAAUGUUCCUUUUUAUCCAGGCCUUUGGUUCUCCUGAUCAACAGCCCAUACCCUUUUAAAAGGUGGCUCUUUUGGGGGGAGUAUUAUUGGGUUAUUGCUUUUAUUUUUAUUUUAUAUAUUGUGAUCUUUUUAUGUGAACCCCCCUGAGACCUCCAGGUAUAGGGCGGUAUAUAAAUUCAAUAAAUAAUAAUAAUAAUAAUAAUAAUAAUCUGAUGAUUUGUCCAUGUGAGUCUCCAACUGGGACAAGCCAGAUGUCCCCAGGAAACACAUGAAAGGAGUAGCUUUCUUCUGUUUGUCCACAGCGCCUGUGUAUGCCUGGGCAUCGCUCUGAACAGGGAUGUUCCACUUUUCACUGUGGCAGCUUAAUAAGAGGCCCCUGCAAUCAAUGUCACAGUGUUGAAUUUCAAUCAGAGUUUACAUGCCAAAGCUGGAAGUGUGGAUGAAUCCUCUGGAUUGUUUAUUUGCAUGUUUCUCCUCUCAGUGUUUGAGGAACCCUGGAGAGAGAUUCGCCUGAUAUGUUGAUUUUUAUUUCAUUUUAUUGCAUCACCUCUCGAGAGUUUAAGGUGUCAACAGCACUCUUUGUCCAGUGACAGCAAAACUCACUAUAUUAAAAGAGCAUCUUGUCUAGACUGUGGGGCAACACUGGAUAUCUUGCAGAUAUUCUCUUGACAGAAGCAAGAUUUAUAAGAUGCAUUUUGUCCUGAAAGAUGGUUCCAAAAAGGGGGGUGGGUGGAAUGGUAACUUCAUGGGCAUUAGAUAUAUAUUAAGGAGAUAAAUAGGGACGCGGGUGGUGCUGUGGGUAAAACCUCAGCGCCUAGGACUUGCCGAUCGUAUGGUCGGUGGUUCGAAUCCCCUCGGCGGGGUGAGCUCCCGUCAUUCAGUCCCAGCUCCUGCCCACCUAGCAGUUCGAAAGCACCCUUAAGUGCAAGUAGAUAAAUAGGUACCGCUUUAUAGUGGGAAGGUAAACAGCGUUUCCGUGUGCUGUGCUGGUGCUGGCUCGCCAGAGCAGCUUCGUCACGCUGGCCACAUGACCCGGAAGUGUCUUCGGACAGCGCUGGCCCCGGCCUCUUAAGCGAGAUGGGCGCGCAACCCCAGAGUCGGUCACGACUGGCCCAUACGGGCAGGGGUACCUUUACCUUUAAGGAGAUAAAUAAUAAUUUGUAAUUGGGUGUAUGGGCUAAUUUAAAUGAAACUGCAAAAAAUGUGAAUAAGGAUGUAAGACUUGCCAAUGCUAUAUUAGACAAUGGGCUAUUGAGUUCAGCACUCUGCCUUUAACAGUCAUCAUCCAAACAUCCCUGAGCAGUUCGCAAGUCAAGAAAAGUGAAUAGACCAUAUAGAGAGACACUAUCUUGAGCAAGAUGGUCCAGUGGUCUGAUUCAACGUAAGACAGUUUCCUACUUUCUCAUUUGAACAAGGGUCCAAAUGGAUGCAAUGUAUUAUUGCGUGUAAUUUGUGAGGAUUUGAAAUAUUAUUGCACAGCUAUCUCUCAAGUGUAUGAAAGAAGACAUCAGUUCGGCCUCCAGGCCAUGGGACUUGUCUCUCAACAGCUGCCCUAAAUCUGCGAACUUAAACCUUUCACAGCCACGAGGAAGUGAUGGCUUUAGUUGCCUCUGGCUUUUGCCCACAUGGAAAACUGUGACCCAUAUUUGCAAACAUGUAACUUUAAAAGCCAGGAUUUCAAGCAAGCAAUCCUAGGUGCAGUUUUAGUUAAUCCUUCUCAAAGGGGAUAUAACAGAGCUGGAAAGUGUGUGGAAAGGGGCAACCAAAAUGAGCCAGUUGUCGGAGCACCUUCCUUGCAGGAAAAAAAUGGUUUAAAUGGGUUUUUGAGGUGCGUGGCACUUCUAUACUGUCAUUAUUAUCUAUACUGUGGAUCUCUAUACUGUGAGAUCCCAUGGACAGUAAUACUAAAAGGAAAGGGAGUUCAUGAUGGCUGGGAGUUUGUUAAGAGGGAGAUAGUAAAAGCACAACUUCAGGCAAUACCAAUGAGACGGAAACAUGGAAGGUGCCUAAAGAAGCCAGGGUGGCUAUCUAAAGAACUUUUAACUGAGUUAAGGUUAAAAAAGGAUGUGUACAAAAAAUGGAAAAGGAUGGAAACCACCAAAGAGGAAUUCAAACAAAUAGCCAGCACGUGUAGACACAAAGUCAGAAAAGCUAAAGCACAGAAUGAACUCAGGCUUGCUAGAGAGGUUAAAAGCAACAAAAAGGCUUUUAUGGGUAUGUUCAUAGCAAAAGGAAGAACAAAGAAACAGUGGGGUCACUCAGAGGAGAAGAUGGUGAAAUGCAAACAGGGGACACAGAAAGGGCUGAACUCCUCAAUGCCUUCUUUGCCUCAGUCUUCUCCGAUAAAGAAAACAAUGCCCGACCUGAAGAAUUUGGAGCAAAUGAUUCAGCAGAGGAAACACAGCCCAGAAUAACUAAGGAGAUAGUACAAGAAUACUUGGCUAGUUUAGAUGUAUUCAAGUCUCCAGGGCCAGAUGAACUGCAUCCAAGAGUAUUAAAAGAACUGGCAGAUGUGAUCUCAGAACCACUGGCAGUCAUCUUUGAGAAUUCCUGGAGAACAGGCGAAGUCCCGGCAGACUGGAGGAGGGCAAAUGUUGUCCCUAUUUUCAAAAGGGGAAAAGAGAGGACCCAAAUAAUUACUGCCCAGUCAGUCUGACAUCAAUACCAGGGAAGAUUCUGGAGCAGAUCAUUAAGCAAACAGUCUGUGAGCACCUAGAAAGGAAUGCUGUGAUCACCAAUAGUCAGCAUGGAUUUCUGAAAAAUAAAUCAUGUCAGACUAACCUGAUCUCGUAUUUUGACAGAAUUACAAGCCUGGUAGAUGAAGGGAAUGCAGUGGAUGUAGCCUACCUUGAUUUCAGCAAGGCAUUUGACAAGGUGCCCCAUGAUAUUCUUGUAAAGAAGCUGGUAAAAUGCGGUCUUGACUAUUCUACCACUCAGUGGAUUUGUAACUGGCUGACUGACCGAACCCAAAGGGUGCUCAUCAAUGGUUCCUCUUCAUCCUGGAGAAGAGUGACUAGUGGGGUGCCACAGGGUUCUGUCUUGGGCCUGGUCUUAUUCAACAUCUUUAUCAACGACUUGGAUGAUGGACUCAAGGGCAUCCUGAUCAAAUUUGCAGAUGACACCAAACUGGGAGGGGUGGCUAACACCCCAGAGGACAGGAUCACACUUCAAAACGACCUUGACAGAUUAGAGAACUGGGCAAAAACAAACAAGAUGAAUUUUAACAGGGAGAAAUGUAAAGUAUUGCACUUGGGCAAAAAAUGAGAGGCACAAAUACAAGAUGGGUGACACCUGGCUUGAGAGCAGUACAUGUGAAAAGGAUCUAGGAGUCUUGGUUGACCACAAACUUCACAUGAGCCAACAGUGUGACGCGGCAGCUAAAAAGCCAAUGCAAUUCUGGGCUGCAUCAAUAGGAGUAUAGCAUCUAGAUCAAGGGAAGUAAUAGUGCCACUGUAUUCUGCUCUGGUCAGACCUCACCUGGAGUACUGUGUCCAGUUCUGGGCACCACAGUUCAAGAAGGACACUGACAAACUGGAACGUGUCCAGAGGAGGGCAACCAAAAUGGUCAAAGGCCUGGAAACGAUGCCUUAUGAGGAACGGCUAAGGGAGCUGGGCAUGUUUAGCCUGGAGAAGAGGAGGUUAAGGGGUGAUAUGAUAGCCAUGUUCAAAUAUAUAAAAGGAUGUCACAUAGAGGAGGGAGAAAGGUUGUUUUCUGCUGCUCCAGAGAAGCGGACACGGAGCAAUGGAUCCAAACUACAAGAAAGAAGAUUCCACCUAAACAUUAGGAAGAACUUCCUGACAGUAAGAGCUG
This 68466-nucleotide long non-coding RNA is filed under the name Podarcis lilfordi (Lilford's wall lizard). The stretch from base 55900 to 55956 matches the Rfam family "tRNA", at positions 9 to 63 of the family's 71-position model. The record is from RNAcentral. Lineage: Eukaryota; Metazoa; Chordata; Lepidosauria; Squamata; Lacertidae.